GUUGCUAUCUUUUUUGUAUCUGAACACAUUUUUAUGCUUCCCUAUAUUAAAUCGAAUACCAUGUUACUUCUUCAUUCAUAGUUCAGCAAACAACCACAUUGACGGCAUUUCAUCAAAGCACGAGGAAGAAUUCUAUUUGUGAAGCAUAUCUGGUUCGAUCAUUUCCUGGCAACUAUGCCUAUAUAAGGACAUCACAGGGCAAAGGCAAUGCCAUCACCCAAUCCAAGUUGCUAACAUAUUCACUACCACUUUAGAUUAGCAAAAGAAUACCACCAUUUUUCAACCAGCAAUGGCAUCUUGCAAGUUGUUCGUGUUCAUGUUUCUCAUUGUCGUCUGGUUCCCCGGCUACAAUGAAGCAUUUUCAUCCCGUCGCCUUCUAUUACUACCAGUUCCAAAUGCACCAGGUUCUCCAAAAAUUCCAACUUACCCGGUUUCGCCACUCCUCCCAACACCAACUGUCCCACCACCACCAACUUUUCCGCUCCCUACCCCUCCCUUCCCCGGAAUUCCAAUUGCUCCAUUCUUUCCAAGUCCAUUGCUACCACCUGCAGCUACUACCACCAGCAGCAGUACCAGCCCUUGAAAGUCGCAUUUUAAUGUUAUCUUGCGUGCCUGUUGCUUGCUCAGCUUGUAGCAGGAGAACUAAGCCAAUUUGCCUGGCACACGUUUCAGAAUGAUGAAGCGAGUCCUGGACUGUAUGUGCUUCAAUAACAAUAAGUAGACUGUUGUUUAUUGGAUGUUUCUAGUGUUUAUUAUGGUUUCAGUUGCUGAAUGGAUUACCUUUGCAUAAGGGUGUAAGUUUUAGUAAUAAAGGAUUCUGAAUCCUAUAUUAUUCCCAUUUUCUGGUUGUUUGGCUUGUGGAAUUCACGAAUUCAAGAUUUAACGACAGUGCAUUGUCACUUAAAAUGUGCUAAUCGACAGCAACAUGCCUGAGCGUAUAGGCAAUAAGAAAUUUUCUGUGCCUUGCUACAUAGCAAACAAAAACUGGAUGACCAGUGGAAGGAAACAACAACUUUAAGAUGAUUGGUAUCAAAUGAUUUCGGCAUUGAGCCCACUAGAACACGCAAUGUUCACAUUCCAUAAAUAUGAAGAAAGCAGAAGACUAUUUAACGAAAAAAUAAAAAAGAGAAUUAUUUCUAAAGGAGACAACAGGUUAUAAAUGUCCACAACGGCAGCAGAGCCCACAUUUCGCAUCACUUAAUUCGAAGUACGAAAUUUCUUGAGUAUAUUACUCAGUCAAUGAGAAUUGAGGGGAUUCUUAAACUACUGCAGAAGUUGGGAUUGCUCAUCGGAAUUGAGACAUUUUCACUGUCGAUGAAUUUUAUUCGCAGUCUUGUGUGCUAAUGCCUUUGCGAUGUUUAGAUCCUAUCCUUUUGGGAGUCAUUUGCUGUCUUGAGCUCUCAACCUUCAAAGUAGCUAGCAGUUGAGACUACAACACAUGACCCCUUUAGGCAUUAUAACUGCAACUACUGAUUCACUCUCUGUUUUUGACCUAGUUACGUAAUUGACCCGAUUAGCAGGCCAACCCAUGCAGACCUCUUAAGGGUGGUACGCUUUACAAGUUGCUACUGUGGCCAUACAGUCGCCGUUCAUGCCAAGAGGCAUUUUCUUGCAUAGUUCCCUCCCAACACCAUAACCAAUGCAAGGUAGAUCCGUCCCGCAGUCCCCACUGCAACUUUUAAUAGCACAGCUUUGAUUUUCAAACCCCGCUGCUCUGGCUUUUUGCCUCAUAUCAUAUGGUUCCACUUCCACAUGCCUUGCUACCCUACCCAUAUAAAUGCAGCAUAGACUACCAGGUCUUCAAAAUACCAUCCAAGUUGUAGUGUUAGUCGCAACUGAUACUACUUCCAAUAGCACAAAUUUGAAUUUGAAAACUCGUUGAUCAUCAAUUUCUUAACCAAGAAUGGCUUCUUACCACAAGUUGUUGGUGAUCUUCCUUAUCGUUGUUGGAUCUGUUGCUGGCAGCGGCCAAGCUUUGACACACCGUCACCUUCUGUUAUCACCAUCUCCAGGUUCAGAUUCACCCCGAAGAUCAAAAUUUCCCUUUCCAAAAUUAAUGGGAGGGGGUUUGACAGAACAUGGUCCGUCCCAUGCCAGAACCGUCACUUCCCAGCCCGGAAAUCCAAUACUUCCAGACUUUCCAAAUCCAGUGACUUCACCGGGAAAUCCAAUUGUUCCAUACUUUCCAAGUCCAGUGAUCCCACCCGGAAUUCCCCCUAUUCCAUACCUUCCAAGUCCAGUUAUUCCUGCACCAGGAAAUCCAAUUAUUCCAUACUUUCCAAGCCCAGUAAUCCAACCUGGAAAUCCAAUCAUUCCGUACUUCCCAAGCCCGGUGAUCCAACCCGGAAAUCCAACUGUUCCAUACUUUCCAAGUCCAGUUUUCCCACCUCCUCCAGCUGCUACUUCCACCAUUAGCCCUUGAAAUCAAUUUGCAGAAGUACCAUUGGACUUCUCACGUUUCCAUGUUGUGUACGUAGCUCAAUUUUAGCAUGAAGGCUAUAUCAGUUUUCUUGCAUAUUUUGUCAUGAUGUAGGCAAGUCCCUGAUGAAGGGUUGUCCCUAUGCUUUGCAGAAUUCUUAGGUGUUGCUUCGAUAUCAUUCAGAAGCAGACUAAAUUUGAAAUCAUAUCUUUGGUUAGCUUCCAUUCAAGUGCGAAGUUUAUGCAUCAAUAUCCCUAAACUUGAACUACUUUCUCGCCAUGGGGUUGUUUGUUUAUAAAUUGUGUGGAUCAACUUUUUUCUCAUAUAAUAGAUCACUUGAAUCAUGUUAAUCAGUAAUGUGGAUUACUCUGCAGUCUGCACUAGAUGACCAACAACUUUGUUUCGGAGGAGCUGUGUAGAUGUUAAGGGCUGUAUGAAAGAAAUUCUCAUUGAUAUCUUUAUUCCAGAAAAACUGAACGGCAGUCUCCAACCUGAGAAAAGUUCCUUCCAGUGGAAGGUAACAUUUUCACUGAAAUAUUGAGUUACAGACAGGUUUAACCUCUAGAGCUUUAAUUGGAAACGACAACUAUUUCAUACCAACUGUCUUCCGCCGUAAAAGUUAAAAUCAUCAACUUUGACAUCAUUCCAGCUCCUUUAUACACGAAAAGCUUUUGGAAGUGCACAUUUGUUUAAAAAAAAAAAAAAAAAGACACCAAAUUGAUCUUAACCGUGGAAACAUUUUUAUUCAAAUUUAUGAAAUUUUGUAUCGAUUCCUUUCGUAUAUUUUAUUCUUACGUAUUCUCUACUUGCCCACCUUUGUCAGUUUCGGGUCUAGGUACGUACCUUUUUAGUUUACAGUCGUAUGAGCUUUUCGGCGAGGGCAUAAGAGCAUAUAUUGUGUCUUCUGGUUUAUGCUUCUCUCUUGGCAGCUAUCUGCAUCGAUAAUAUGGGUUAUUUCUAGCAGACAAACUAGAAUAAGAACGCAGUCACAGCCACAGGAGUUUCACAGAAGUUAACAAAAUAGUUUAAAAGGGAAGCUGAAGCUGGAUGUGGCUCUUUCCACGCCCAAGCAGAGUUACAGGACCAAACGAUAGCAAUUUACAAGAAGGAAAGGAGGAGUUGCAUACUUACAUGUAUCAAAUGUAUUAAACUUGCACCAACUUUCUUAAUUGAUUCAUCUUGGACCAACCACGUAGGAGGCAUUUAAAAUAGGACCCGAGAGAUGGAGCUACAGUGGGGGGGGGGGGGGGGAAGGGGAACUAAAAUCUAUUAAUUACAUAUGUAAAUUUAAACUUUGCCCCCACUCUUUUAGAAUAUUCUGCAUUAUUUCCUAACAAAAUAUUUAUCCGAUGUGCUUCUUUAUUUGUUACUUUUUUUUCCCUACAAGUCAACCCACUUGAAAACAAAUAAAUAAAUUAUUUAAUCUCUCACACUCGAUCAAAAUCAAGCAAUAAAGAUUCAACUUUAUUUUUAAACCAAUUUAGAAAUUCUUGAUAAUAUAUUUUUCCUCCACUAAAAUUUUAAAAAAAUUCUAGAUUAGUUAUUUCAAAAGGUUUUUUUAGGCAAUUAUUUCAAAAUUUUGAAAAUUACAAAGUUAUAAAAUAGUAUUAGAAUAUUUGAAUAUGAAGACACUUCAAGAACAAUGGUACAGUGUUUGCAUAUUUAUGGUUAUGCUAUAUCGUUUUGAUAGUUUUGUGAUCUAUAUAAUUUAACAUGUUAAGUUCACCUUCACUAAAAUUUAUUUUUGGAUAAAAUAUACUUUAUUCCCCUGUGGUUAGCACUUUUUUGCAUAAUCCUUUUGUGAUUUGAAAAACUAUAUAUAACCUUUUCAUAAUUUGAACUAAAGCGUUAAAGUGACGGAAUUUGCAUUUCAUAAUGGAAUCAACUAAAAUGUCAAAAGUGCUCAUCUUUAAAGUUGAAAAUUAUUAAUUAAUUAUAAGGGGUUAUGUAUAUAUUUUAAAAAUCAUAAGAAGUUAUGUGGUAAAGCACUAAACGAUAAAGGGAUUAUAUAGUAAAAUACAAAAUCAUAAGGCACUAAAAUGUCAUACAUAUUACGUUUAUAUAUUUUGGUCACUUCAACUAUUUUAGGCCUCGUGUGGCAAAUGAGUUUUUUGAAUGUAAAUUUUUGGAUAUUUUGAAAUAUAUAGUUUACUGUAAUUAAAGUUGUUAAAAAACUUGUAGCAGACAAACUUUGCCAAAAAUUUAUUUGCGAGAUAGGCCCUUAGUUUUGAAACAAAGAUAUUCUCGAUAUUUCCUUGGAUUCCGUUACGAAGAAUUUUUUCCGUCACUUUCAUACGUUAGUCCAAACUAUGAGAAAUUACGUAUAUAUUUUAAAAUUACGGGAAGUUAUAUAAAAAAUUGCGAAACCGUAUUUUUAACUCCGCCCUGCACGAGAUGACUCAAGCAUACAGAAGAAAUCUCUCGAGUGUAUUAGUAUAUUCAGUGGGCAAGGAUGGACACGAAACGUCACAAGUCAAAGAAUUGUACCUCUGAGCUUUGGGUGUUCAGUUGGCAUGAUUGAUGAUGCCUUCUUAUUGUCAAUAAAAUUUGGUAAAGGCCAAAAAAUCUGACCAAUCUUUCUGGAUGGUCAGUGUCUUUAUGUUUUCAAACAUUCUGCGAGUGAAUUAGUAAGACUCACAAUGAUGGAUUCAGUCGUAUGGUGAUCAUUGUUUAACUGCGUUGUAACUCGGAACAUGUUAAUUAAUAACAACACGUAUAGUACCUUAAAAAAAAAACACACACACACACACACACAUACUGGCCAUUUUACUCAAAGCUGUAUGCUAGUAUAUGAACCUAAAAUUACAGUGGCAUGCAAAAUCUCAUUGGGAAGACAAUACAUAUACAGGUCAGGAGGCCAAGAAGAUUAAACAUAAUUUAUUCUUCUCUAAACCACGUAACAAAGAUCACAAGUGCUAUUCAAUAGGUUUGAAAACUUUUGAUGAAUCUGAUCUCAAGUUCAUCAGAAAUAUUUCCAGCCUGAAUAUAAAUAGGACCGACCGUUGAUAUUGCUAAAGUAAAUUCCUAUCCCAUUAUUUAUAGCACUUCAUUGGACGAGACAAAAUAUUAUCUUGUUUGCUUUAAUGAAAUCCAACCCCAGUGCAUGAAAAAGAUAAUUGGCAUCAGGGAGAAAUUUGGACGGACGACGCCGUGUCAUGAAUAGUGCUCCAAUUUCGUUCAUCCGCCCCAUCCCCAAACCCUCAAACCAUGGAUAAGUGAUUAACUGAGGGAUAGAUGUUCACACUUCGGAAAAAAAUAGAAUAACCGGCGGAUCUAAUUUAGAUCGGCGAUCGGAUGUCGGUAAAAUGGAAUUCGAGAAAAUUGAAUAAUAUCCAACCUUAAAUUUUGAUAAAAAAAAUUAAAAUUUGGUAAAAAAAAAAAAAUUGGAAAUGGAUAUUGAAAUUCGAUUCUCGAAUUCUCAAUUAGUGACCAAAUUAUCUAAUUUUGUAUUUUAAUUAAAUAUUUUAGAUAUUUCAUGCCUACUGAUAUAUAAUAUUACAUAUUAAUAUAUUAAUCUAUUAGUCAAAAUGUUAUAAGUUAUAAUUUAUACUUAUAAACAAAUAUGUGACCUUUUUAAUUAACAUGUUAAUAACUUUUAUAUUGUUAAUUACAUAUCAAAUAUACUUAACUAAUCUCUAUUAGAAAACCAAUCUAAACCUUCGCAUAUUUUACCGAAAUACCGAUUCUUCGGGCGAAAUCCAACUACCAAUAUCCAAUUAUCCAAAUAAAAAGUUUAGACUUUAGACGGUGAUUGAAUAUUGAUCUUUUAAAAAAAAAAAAAAAAAAAACCGAACCGUUGAGCGGCCGAUGAACAUCCUACUAACGCGGGGGGGAGAACAAAGAAAUUUGAGCACCUACAGAUCUCCUUACUCAAGGAUAAUUUCGUCUUUUCAUUAAAAAAGAGCUCGUUCUGCCGAUUAAAGAAUUGCAGCUUUCAACUAAUUUCCGUAUGGCAAAAACUUGGAUGAAGCCGGUGCAAAAUCCAACUAGUAGACCUGAUGGUGUCUAUUAGCCACGUGGAAAGAGGAGGUAACUCUUGAGACUGAGAGAGGGCUCGCUGUCCAUCGCUAUCAAAGCGGAUCCCAACUUUUCGCCUAGACUACCCACCUCAAUACUUCAGGAACUAGUGUCUUCACCCGUGCUAUGCACGGGUUAUAUUUCAAAUCAAAAUAAUAUUUUAUAUAUUUAUAUAUUGUGUUACAACAUAAUAAAUAUAUAUAGAAUAAAAAUUUUAAAGAAGUGUAUGCUUAAUAUCUUGAAAAAAAAUUGUAAUCUAUAAUUAUUUACAUAAUAAAAGAAUUGUUAACGCAUUUAAGGAGAGAGUUAGGUCGGGUGGUAAGGUGAAAAGAGUUUUCUAAAAAAGUCAAUUUAUCAAUAUCCAACAAAAUAUAUUACUAUGUUAUACCCAUAUAUCAAAACUUAUAAUACAAAAAAAUAAAUUAUAACCAAUUUAUUUUCUUCCAUUUUUAGAAAAAAAAAAGAAGAUCUUACUCCUAUCCUGUGCCCCUAAAUUUGUUGAAUGUAUUUCGAUUAGCAUUUUUCAUAACCUUUAACGUAUAUUUUAAAGAAAAUUCUCCGUACUAUGUGUUUUUAGUGUUCUUAAAAUUAUUAAAAAUCACUAUCAUUUCUCUCUUUUCUUAUACGCCAGUUAGUCAUCAAAUGUCUCCUACGACUUUCAUACCUUUUAUCAUGGUACCACCCUUUUUAUUAUUAUUUUUUUUGUCAUCUCUGCCAUAUUCCUGCAAUCCCCUUUCUUCUUCUCUCCCUUCUCCGCCCAUCAUUGUAAUCCAUAUUUUUUCUUCAACCUUUCCUGCUACUUUUUAACACCUCACCAUUUUCUUCCCUCGCUCCUCCCCCUAUACUUAACAUAUAAAUUUAUAUCCCUACGAUCCAAUAUAUUUAACUUAACCCAUCAUAAUAAAAAUAUAAAAUUGAAAAUUAAUUACAAUGGUUGCAAUUAUUAGUAUCUAAAAAUGGAAAUGAAAAACUGACAAUAUCUAUAAUAUCCUCAAGUACUACAAUCAAUUCAUAUAUAUAUAUAUAUAUAUAUAUAUAUAUAUAUAUGUUUUAACAUAGCAAAUACAUAUUUAUAUAUGAAGACAGCAAUAAGAAAACAUAAAAUAAUUAUGAAUCAAAAGUUAAUAGGAGUGUUUGGGUUUUUACAUCUUAUUAAAUGUAUAUAAUAAGCUACAUAGCAAAUACAUAUUUAUAUAUGAAGACAGCAAUAAGAAUACAUAAAAUAAUUAAUGAUAUCAAAAGUUAUCAUUAGUGUUUGGGUUUUACACUCUUAUUCAAAUCUAAUGUUAAAUUACAAAUUAAGUAGUAUUUUAAGGUUGAAUGUUCUACAUCUUUCUCUUAAACUAUAAUAUUACUUUUUUUAAAUUUUUUGGUAGAACUGGUGUUGUUAUUAUCAUUAUUUUUUAUCAAAAAUGAAUAUUUCAAAAAAAAUUUCACAUUAAAAGGCUAGUAGUACUUUGCUUUUUAUUUAGUGAUUUCAUAAUUUGGAUUUCAUGAAUGGUACCAUUCUUGAUUUUUUAAAUUCAUGACAUUAUUUCCUUUUUGUUUUCUAUUUAAUUUUGUCUUUUUACUUAGGAUUACUACGUUUAAUGAUAAAAUGUUAUCAUUUACUUUUUUACUUUUACUAAGUUUGGCAAUAUUUUUUUUUAUUUACCCUUCCAGUAAUAAACUUCAAACCAAAUUCCUAUAUAAGCGGAGCCACUACUUUUUUAAAUUAGAAAAACAUGAGAGCCACUUCUUUCUUAAGAAAAUGUUAUUUGCACUCAAUUUUUAUUAUUUGCAAUUCUACCAUUUUUUUUAUCAUAUAGUCUAAUUAAUAAAAAUUAUAUGAUCAAAAUGAUUAUUGAAGUGUGAAUAACAAAAAUGGGGUGUAAAUAAUCUUACUUAUUUAAAUUAAUAAGAAAGCAUGAAUGGAUGUUAUAUUUGUUAUCUUUUCUUAUGGUCUUAUAGAAGUUUUAAUUAUUGUAGAAUCAUAAAUAACGCAAGGCAAUCGGAAACGUGAUGGGUUGAAGUUCAAAUAGGAUAUCACUAGUAUUUUGACCCGUGCUAUGCACGGGGUUAUAUUUCAAAUAAAAAUAAUAUUUUAUAUAUUUAUAUAUUGUGGUACAAAAUAAUAAAUAUAUAUAUAGACUAAAAAUUUUAAAGAAUAUACUUAAUAUCUUGAAAAAAAAUUAAUAUAUAAUGAUUUACAUGAUAAAAGAAUUGUUAACGCAUUUAAGGAGAGGGUUAAGUUGGGUGGUAAGGUGAGAAGAGUUUUCUAAAAAAAAACGUCAAUUUAUCAAUAUCCGACAAAACAUAUUAUGUUAUACUCAUAUAUCAAAACUUAUAAUAUAAAAAAAUAAAUUAUAACCAAUUUAUUUUCUUCCAUUUUUAGAAAAAAUAUCUUUCUCCUAUCUUGUGCCCCUAAAAUUGUUGACUGCAUUUAGAUUAGCAUUUUUCAUAAAUUUUAAUGUAUAUUUUUAAACAAAUUCUCCAUAAUAUGUAUUUUUAGCGUUCUCAAAAUUAUUAAAAAUCACCAUCAUUUUUCUCUUCUCUUAUACGCCAGCUAGUCAUCAGAUGUCUCCUACAACUUUCAUAUCUUCUAUCAUGUUACCACCCUCUCUAUUAUUAUUAUUAUUUUUUGUUAUCUUUGUCAUAUCCCUACAAUCCCCUUUCUUCUUCACUCCCUUCUCUGCCCAUCCUUGUAACCCAUAUUUCUUCUUCAACUUUUCCUGCUACUUUUCAACAUCUCACCAUUUUCUUCCCUCGCUCCUCCCCCUAUACCUAACCGCUAAAUUCAUAUUCCUGCGACCCAAUAUAUUUAACUUUACCUAUUAUAAUGAAAAUAUAAAAUUGAAAAUCAAUUACAAUGGUUGCAAUUAUUAGUAUCUAAAAAUGGAAAUGAAAAACUGAUAAUAUCUAUAAUAUCCUAAAGUACUACAAUCAAUAUAUAUAUAUAUAUAUAUAUAUAUAUAUAUAUAUAUAUAUAUUAACAUAGCAAAUUCAUAUUUACAUAUGAAGAAAGCAAUAAGAAUACAUAAAAUAAUUAAUGAUACAAAAAGUUAUCCUUAGUGUUUGGGUUUUGCACUCUGUCAUUUGUUUCUGCCGCUUGGACUAAUUCCAUCAAUAUCGGGACAGCAAUUGAUGGUUAAGGAGUUUGGCGGUUUUCUUUUUCCUUACUUUAGGUUGGGUUUGAAAAAGAUCGCCAGUGCAGGCUGCUGAUGCCUGACCGCCAUAAUCUGAGUUGAUAUCUUGCAUGAAUUAUUUUGCCGUUUAUUGAUUGUUGUCUGCUAGCAUUAAUUAUUUUGCAGUUUAUUGGUUCCUGCUUGCCGAUCACUAGGUUUCAUUUUUUUUUUUUUUUUAAGAAAAAAAUAGUCACAACUUUCAUCUGGCCUCGCUUCAUGACUUUACACGACAUUGAUAGCUAAUGGGAGAUGUUUUAAUUUAUGGAAUGGUUCAAGGUUCUAGGAUUCAAGAUUCUUGAAUUUGAUUACACUGCCCUUUGUGGCACAAGAUAGCCUUCCUUUUGGCUUUGGCCACAUCUUUUUCAAAUUUUUUUUAAAACUUGGUAAUGUUAUAAGUAUUUAAUAUGCACUACUGCCCUCUUUGUUUGUUCUUUUCUUUUGAGUUGUAUGCUCACAAGUAGGAAUGCCCAAACAUUCCCCCGCCCCCGUCCCGCUUCUCCCAUGAGUGCUCGCAAGAGCUAAUAAAAAUUUGUUUUUUAAAUAGAAAAAAAGAAUUUUCAUUAAUGUAAAAUAAUGUCUACAACAAGUGUGGUAACAAUAAAAUCUGGAAGAAAGGCCCUCCAUAUACUUUUUUUUUUUUUUCAGAAACGUUAGAUAAUUUCAUUAAUAUAUUGUAAACUAUACAAUUGCUGAGCAAAGGCCCAAUUUGACUUUACAAGUGCAUCUUGGCACUAAGGUCUGAAUUCUGAAAUCUGAAUACUGAAACAAUUAAUUUGCUAUGAAUGUCUGAAUUUUAAUACUAAACAUAUUUAUACUGUUUGAUAAAUACUUAUAAUUGAAUGCUUAAUAAGUUUAAUUUGAUAAUUUUGCCCUUAUAUCCUUUCAUUCAAAAAGAAAUAGAAUCUAUGACUUAAUUAGUUUAAAAUUGUUAGGUAUGAACAUGAUAAUAUUUAUUUUUAAAUCAAAUUAAUAUAAAAGAUGAAAUAUAUUAUAUGAGGAGUAUGGAGAAGAUGUGAAAGCCAUUAAAAAGGAAGAAAAGAGAAACUAAAAAUCAUUAGAUAGAAAACAUUAGGUUGUGAAAGUCAUUAAAAGGGGAUAAAAGAGAAACUAAAAAUUGUUAGAUAGAGAAUAUUAUGUUGUUUAAUUAGAUAAGAAUUUUGAACAUAAUUUACAAACAAGGGUAGAUUUGGUAGAUAAGCUAAGGUAGUUGAAGUAAUUCUAUUGAUUCUUAUCAGAAUUAAGCAUUCAGUUAGGAUUCUUGUGCUGAAAAAAUACAUACAAGUUCAGCACUGUUUAACAAGUUCAGCAGAUAUAUUUUCAUUUAUCAAACACUCAAAAUAUCUGAAUGUCUGAAAAGGUUUAGUUUCAACACUUUUUUAUGUUAUCAAACAGACGCUAAGAGUGUAACCACUCUUCAUCAAAAGAAAUGCUUAAUCCAUGCAUGCUAACUAAAUCAACCCUUUCCUCCGUUAAGUUAAUGGAUAAAAUGAAUGAGCAACAUUGUUCAACUUUCUAGGUGCCCAUAAUGCUUUCUAGGUUGCAAAGCUUUAUAUAUCUAUGAGAAUAUAAUCCACAAAGUUGAUGCAUCCGAAUCCAUACUUUGAGAAUCAUUUUAAUAACUUCUUGACAAUAGAAAUUUGUUAAGUGCAAAAGAAUAAAAGUGUAACUAGUAAUUUAGUAUAAAUGUAUUAAUACAACAAAUCAUUAAUUUAUAGUAUUACAAAUGUAUAAUUAUUAGUGUAAAUAAUAAUAUUAAUUAUAUUACAUAUACAUAAUCUAAUACUUAUAACUACUAAUAAUAUCAAAUAUAUAUUAUAUAUAUAAUUAUAAUAUAUUUAUUUUUUUAGGUGGGUAAUGGGACAGGGGUAUACUCCCUUAUCCCCCACCCCAUUUUUUAAGGGGGACAGAAAAUGAUCCUUGCCUCGCCCCAUCUCUCACCCCAUCAAUCCCUACGGGCACCCGUCCCAAUUGCGAUCCCUAUUCAAAUGGAAUAUGGACCUAUAUUAAGGUAAAAUAAGAACGAAAUAAACUUGAUAUUAGUGGGCAAUAAAGGUUGGAUUAAUCUUGACAAUAUAUACAUGAUCAUUGUUCGAUGCAUGACAAGCAAUUUGAAUUUAAAUUUAAAUUUUAAAUUUUAUAUAUAAUAUAUAGAAGCAUAAUAAUGUAUGCAUUAUCAAUGUAUAUAAGAUUACCCACAAAAGUGAUGGAAUUGUACAACAAAGUGAUCAUGUAUAUGCUCAUUUAAACAAAGUAACGAGACACAACAAAGUGGCAAACAAAGAUAAUUUCAAACUCACCCUCUUGAUCUCAAAGUCGCGUUUGAGUUCAACCAAGUUGAAUUGUACAAAAUCGGACUCGUUUUGGUUCAACAAAAUGAAAAGAUAAGAGAUUGAGUUGAAUCUCAUGUUCUUCUUUCUUUUUGGAGCAAAUCUUCCCGUUCAGGCUUGAGUGCUUAAGCGUAAACAACCCCGUUGGAGCUCUAACAGAAAAGAACAUUUAUCCCUGUUUAUUUAUCCAGUACAUAGCCAAGUUUCAAGUCAAAAUAGGAGCAAAAGCAGCAAGAAGAUUACAACAGAAAAUUUUUAUUCCCAAAAGUAUGAAAGGCGCAAACAUAUUUACAUGCCGUUGUCUACAUUCUAUGCUUAAACAAUUUUAAAGUGAGUUCAUUAUUUUUUCUUGGCGAUAGGCGUCCCUCGAAAACUUGUCUUACGCGAAAUUUGGGUUUCCAUUCAUUUUGAUGUUGCAUUACAUUAGCAUUUGAUCAGAUUCAGCAUGGUUAUACUCCCCUCUAAUUCGAACCACAUUCUAAGUAUUUCGCCAACUAAAACAAAGUUGGAACGGAGUCUGAUCAAUUUGAAAGGACAGAAUCAUCACUUUUGAAGAAGUAUCAUAUAAACUUUUGAUGGGUGUCAAACCACCAAAAUUAAAAUUCAUACUCUAAACUUAAAUUCAAAUAUAGCAGUGAGUAGAGUCGUCUACUCAAAGACUGCAUGAUUUAUUUCCAUCCAAGCAAGAAUUAAAUGGGGGGUUUUGAAAAUUUAAAAUAAAAAAAAAAUCAAUUUAAGUAAAAGCAAUCAAAUGAAAGAAAAUUUAAAUUAAUUCAAUAAUAAAAAAGCUCUAGCCAAGGAUAAAAUUCUGGAAUUGGUUCGUACAACUGCUUAUUGAUCUAAUAAUAAUUUCAUCUAUCCAUUAACAAACAUGUUAUAAUUGCCAAACAAGUAAUGACGAUCAAUAUUUCCUUUUGAUAAUUACUAAUAGUUAAGGUACCUCGUAGAAUUUAAUUUAUUAGUUGCAUUAAAAACUAGAAAAACCAUGUUAUAAGGAUUUAUUUAAAUUAGAUCAUAUAUUUCCCUAAUAUGAAACCAAUUACGCUAGUUACCACUAAUUUAAGACAAUUAAACAAUUACGGAUUUAACUGUCUUAAUUGGCAAUGGAUUAUUAGGUUGAAUUAAAUAUCGAGCCCUUCAUAUUCAAAUAACAAAAUAACCAUGAGAAAUUAAAUCAGAAAACAUACGAAUAUUAAUGAAUAAAAGAAAUAGAUAAAACAAUUACGUCUCACAGUUGUAGUUGAACCAAACCAUUCGUUAUCCCAUUGACUAGAAAAAGAAAAUUACCCCACUCAUCCUUGGGAAUAAUCCAAGUAAUUUCAUUGACAAAAGUUGCAUAAGCUUUCGACAAAUAGGAAAACAAAAGAGAAAAGACGGACAGCUCCUUAGUUUUUGUUUUGUGCCGAGACUAAUAAUAAUCUCCUAAGAACAAAGACGUUCCUCUGUUUUUCGUUCGAGACUACUCAAUCACCUCUACAAAACAAAGAUAUCCCCUUUUUAAAGUCGAAGAAAACAAAAAGUGAAAGAAGAAAUCCCCGUUUCUCACGUUUCCUUCGAAAGCACUACUACUUUUCUAAUUUUUCCUAAGAAAAGGAUAUUUCCUAAAAAUGACAAAGGAUAAGCUAACUCGUUUCCUAAUACAGGUUGGAAAGACUGAAGGGCAAUCAUCUUGGGAACAGAAAAAUACGCUCCUAAGGACUUUAACUUGAAUUGGGAAAUUGCCAAACGUGCAAAUGUCGAUCUCUCCGGACUUGACAAUAGAAUUUGGACGUGCCCACAACAAACCGGUUCAUCGUCUUCUGAAAAAUUGCCUCCUUUCAUCACUUUUUUCCUCUACCUCUUACAAUUAACAUCAUUAAUCAAGCAUAAGUAGAAUCUAUCAAUUAAUAUAAUAUUUGAUCAAAAUUCAAGGAAAAAUACUCAUAAAUUUGACAGCAAUUACGCACCCUGUCAACUUUAUGUAAGAGGAAGGAACGAGAGAUUGAGCUCUUGAUAAUCAUCCAUCAUACACUCAAUCCACACGAGAUUCAUAAAUAUGGAGUUAGAAGCCCGCAGGGAAGGGAAAGUUAAAAGCAAUGUACUGGGUCGUGAUUUGUUGGUGCAAACGGGGUUGGUUGGUUUCAAAUGGGUGUGACCAUUAUACUUGUACAAUAGAUAAUUUUUGAGUGAGAAUUUUCAUUAUUCAACAUGGUUGUUUAAAAUUUGAGGACCCUUAAUUUAAUCUGUUCCAAGAUACUCAUCCACCUGAAAAUUUCUUAAAAUUGAGGUUUAACUUCUUUCUUGUCUCGGCUCUUUCUACUACUGUUGACUCUAUAACUUACAACAACAACCCCUUUCUCAAUUUUUCUUUGCUAAAUCAUACUACUGUGGCUUUAAAAUGUUGCUCUUGAUUGACAUUCCAAAACUAGACGGCCUAUCCAGUAGGUUACCAGGACCGAAAGAGGGUUACCAGGCCCAAGGUGUCGUCCUACCCACCAGGGAUUUUCCCUCUAAUACACGAUCCAGGCCAAUCAUAAGUGACUCUGGUUUGGGCUACCUUAUUCAUCUGGAAUCCGGGCUACGACCCUGAAUUUUUGUCAAACAUUUUGUUUGACAGUGAUAGAACUGUCAAACAUUCGAAUGACUUCCAUUUUACCAAAAGCCUGAUUGAUGGCAAUUUUGCCAGUUUGUCCAACAGCAAUAUGCUUCAGUUUGGAAGUAAAAUGUCUUUCUAUCUGAUUUGGGGUUUCCCAAAACGAUUUUACAAAUGGGCUAUAUGGUAUCUAGGAAGACCAUCUGUCAUGUUUUUGUGUGGCACAGCGAGUUGUUGAUUAAGCUAAAUCAUUACCUACACAUUAGCAUUUGAAGAAUAUUUGGUCCGAGGUAUCUGAAAUUUGAGAUGUUCUUGUCUGAAGAAGAAGUUUUGGCGGCGAAGGGAGAUCAUUAUUGGUAGGGAUUCCUUAGAAGAAGUUUGGUUUGUAAACUUAAAAUGUGGAUGGCUCAGCAGUAGAAUGGAGUCCGGGCCUGGUAGGUAGAGGUGGCGUGCUCAGAUCAGAAGUGAUGAGAGAAGCUUUUUCGGCUAUGGGGUGGUGAAUAUCGGACAGGCACAGGCUACAAGUCUUGCUGCACAAUUGUGGACGAUUGAUUGUAGCAAGGUUUAAAAGUAGCUUGAAAGUCUCAAAUUGAGGCAUGCUGGAGUGGAAUCCGACUUUAAACUAAGGCUAGACUUGGUUCGAUAUGCAGGAGUUUUAUCAAAACUUACUUUAGCAAAUAAUACCAUCAGGCGUUUCUUUGUUAUCAAAUUCACAGAUGUUGUUGAGCCGCUGUUAGCUUCAGAUCUUUGUAGGUGCUUCAGAAGUUGUUGAGUACGCUUUGCCUUUUACAAUAUCGUCAAAAGUUUAAUUGACAGAAGAUGAUAAGUAGACUAUCUUUCAUAAUUAUUUGGAAAGGAAGGAUUUGUGAUUGGUUUGGUAGAGCUAGUUGGAACUAGGAAAGGAUUCUUUCAUAUAAUGUAUGGCGCUAUGUCCCCAGUUUUUGUUAUUGCCGCAACCCAAUAGGUUUUGAGAUGUUAAACAUACGAAUUUGUAUUAGGAGUACCUGAGUUGAGGAGGGAAAUACCAGUGAGCCCUGAAUCCAAAGAAGGGUGCUGAAGCAGAUGAACACCUAUGGGUAUGGGGUACGGGUUCAUUGAGAUAACUAGAAGACCCAUACUUGAGGCCAGCAAGUACUUUAAAUGCUCCACAAAUUGGAUGGUUGAACAGGAGUAGCCGUGGACCGGAGGUUAAGUAUGGGAUUGAAACGAAUAUUGGCAGAAGAUUCAUUGUCAAUGCAUCUGUGAUCACUGAUUAGCGGGGACUAAGGCUAUACUUUCAAGACACUACUAAUUUUAACUCGCGUGCUUAUUAUAUCCCACCGGCAACAGCUAAAGGAGAAAAUAGGAGGAAGUGAUCAUGGAAAAACGAAGAUGAUAUCAUCACUAUGGACUUUGUUCUCACGGCUGCCUGCAACUUGGAACUCUGCAAUAUCAUCCCUAACAUAUGGGAAAACCAUGAAACAGCUGCCAGAGGACAGUUUGCUUGAAAAAUGGGAUCCCGGUGCAAGACUGAAUAAUUAUUACUGACAAAACCAAAAAUUUUAAGAAGCACGCAAAAUGCUAAAUCCGCUAUAAUUAGCACUUUGAGAAAUCCACCAAAAGAUUGAAACCAAGCAUUAUUGCUUUUCAAGCUUAAAAGUAUCACACGCAGUUUAGAUUUUCAUCUCUUUGAGAUAAAAGGCAAAACUUUACUUACACUUACAGGUUCUGUGCGACCGUUACGGGACAUUCACAAGCUUAUGACAACUUUCUGCAGCUGAUCCCAAUUCCGGGGUCAGCCUUUCAAUCAAAGUUUCAACUCCUCAUUUUUUUCAGUAUCAGAAUUCUAUGUGCAUUUGAUGUGGAAACAUUGGAAACUCCCAUCUUGUUGAGAGUUAUCAUGUAAUUUGAAUUCAAGGCCAAAAGCUCAUGGCUGAGGAACGGAAUUCCUGCUUCUGCUAUACCUUGACAAGAACACCCUGGCACUGCAAGAAAGUGAUCUCUUUACCGCAGAAGUCUCUUUUUGCGAUGAUCUCUCCACCGAAGAACAACCCUCCGAUCUCGACAAGCACUGCUCAUUGCCAGCUCCCUUUGGAGCAAGACCCAUACUUGAUCCAUUCAUUUGCAUAUUCUUGUUGUCUGAGUUUCUGUCACAUUGUGGUGGAAAUGCAUUAGCAAUAGCAGCACUAACUUUGAAGGCUGAUAAGGAAUCCAUCGAAACUGAUCUUCUGAGCGGUUGAAUUCCUUCCUCCUCUCUGGCACCACUAUUUCCCACAUCUUCCAUGAAAUUUUCAUUUCUCCUCGAUGCAUUUCCGGUUCCUACCCUUGAUUCAUCUUCCUCUUCCACCUCAACACCGACUUCAAGAACCUCACUUUCCCUUUCUCUCUCGGAAUCCCUAUUAUUUUCCGAAACUCCCAUUUGGAUUUCCUCCACACGACCUGAAUUAUGAUGACUCUGCGACGAAGACUGGAGGUUAGCCGUGCUCACAACAAUCCCAGCUCGGCAAUUGGGGCAAUUGGUGUGUGAUCUGAGCCAAGUAUCAAUGCAAGGUAUAUGAAAAGCAUGAUUACACUUGGGCAGCAGCCUUAAAGUCUCAUCUUCUUGAAAUUCAUUCAAGCAAACAGAGCACUCUGUUCCUUCCACCAGUCCAUCACCUCUUUUAUACUUACAAAUAGUGAUUGCAUUAAUCACAGACGACUGAAGACCAACUGUCCUGAUAUACCAUAUGGGAUGGUCAACCACGGGACCCUGAUCUUCAUCAAGAAAAUCCAGAUGGGCUUCUUCAUCCUCUCCAGGCUGCUGCUGGGGCUGUGGAAUCAAUUGCCUACUCCUUGAAGACGUAUACCGACGUUUAUAAAACUUGUAUAUCAUGUAGAUAGAGAAAAUCAAGAAAGUUGUGGCUAAAACACCAAGAGACACGGAGAGGGAGACAUAGAGUCCAGAUGGCUGGGUAGAAUGCUUGCCAUCAGAAAGCAAAGUAUGAUCAGGAGGUGGUGGAGGCAGACCGGGAAAGAGUGGAUGGUUGCAGGUUGGAUAACAUUGGAGUAUACAUCUGACCGGACAAGAUCCGUCUAGGUUGUGUACAGGAUCACAGAAAGAUAGACAAAGUCUUUCAACUGAAUUCUCGAGAGAAUCAUUAAGCAACUUCCUGUGGUGGAAGGACAUGGCUCAUUUGAUUUUCAUAACAGUGAUUUUUCUGGGGUGUUCUUGGUGGGGUGAAGGAAGGAAGAAAGGAAGGGAGGAGGGGUGGGGGCCUGGGGAUGGGGCUGGGGGUGGAGGUUGGAUGAGGAUUGAGAUGGAUGGAAGAGUCGGCGAAGGCUACCACUUGGAGUUGGAGUGUUGCUGAAUGUUGACUAAAGCUAAUACUUUUUCGUUUUUUUUUGUCAAAAGAAAAGCUUUUCUUUUUUCCUAAUCCGGCCAUUUGUUGAUCUUGACUUCUACGAAGGUCCGUCUAACUUUGAAGGCGGCAGAUCGUCCUUGCAUGUCUUAUUUCCCUAUAUAAUCCGUAUUGUAUUGGAAAUUGCAAAAGUAAUACAAAGUUCUGAAUUUUCUCAAAAUAAAGAUUUUACUUUGAAAAGACAAUUUCAAAAUCACAAUUUUAGAUGGCAAAUUCACAGGUUAUUUAUUCUUCAUUUCUCUCUAGAUUCCUUGUUCUAAAGUGGUCUAUAGUCAUCAUUUCAAAUAUUCGCUUGAAAGGAUCGAUCUAUAAUAGUAAUUUUUAAGUUAUCUUUUGAAAUAACGAAAUCUUUAUUUUAAAAAGAAUUAAAAAUUUUGGAAUUUCAAAUAAAUAUUGGAUUAAAUAGGUAAAAUCCCAUCAAGCUCACUCCAAAAUGGUCACUUUGUUUUUCUUUAGUUUUUAUCCAUACAUGGUCAUGUAGUUUUUUGGGUUAAUUACAGUUUGCUUCCCUGAAUUUGAUCCAUUAUAACACUCUACCCCCCUGAACUUUAAAUAUAUACACUUUGCCCUCUUCAUUGAUUAAUCAAAUUAAUGAUGAAUUCUCCAUCCAAAAUUUUAACAACAUAACAUUAAUGUCCUUACAUAAUAGUUCCAUAAUAAUACUAUACUUUUAAUUGAAAUAUGAAACAUCUUAUUAGAAAAAAAACACAAAGUCACAUGAUUUAAAAAAAUAAAAAAAAAAUACAAGAUGGUAUAAUAUCAAAGAAUUGAAAAUUUGUAUUGCAGAAAAAAAAAUUUAAAAAUUCUUAGAACAUCUGCCCAAAUUUUCCAUCACUUAUCUUUCUUCCUUUAAAUUGUAAACGGAUUGAUUUUAAUAAUUUUCAUUUACGUUGCAACUUUCACAAGAUUUUCAAGAGUCAAUAAAAUGCUAUUUGGUAAUUUUAUACCGCAUUCAUACCUUGCUGUGUAUUUUGUUUGAGUUCUAUAUUUUAAAAAAUAAAAAAUUCUCUAACUAUGUUUUUCAAUAUAUUUUUAUUUUUAAUCAUGUUUUUAUAUUAUAUAAAACACAUUAAAAAGUACUACAAUAAAAAAUAAAAGCAAAUAAUUUUUAUUCCAUAUGUACUAAUUAAUUUUUAUUUCAUUUAAAAUAAGUACUACUAUCGGCAAUGAAAUAAAUACAUUGUAUAUUUUUUUGGAAUCAAGGCGUAUUUACAUUUUGAUUCACACGUGAAAAUUCUCCUUGAUUAUGUGGACAGCAGUAGUAUUGUGUAACUGUGUUGCAAUUGUUGGGUUAGUCCAAAUUCAACUGCAUAGUGGUGAAUGACGCUCAUUGUUGUUUCUUUCGUCUAUAUGGGCAUUACCUUUUUCUUUUUCUUUUUUUUAAAAAAAAAAAAUUUUCAGCGCAAAAACAAAAAGUGUUUAAGUUAGAUUUAAGAGAGUUGUUGGCUAGUUUCAACUUAUUAGUGCAUUAUGCUCACAAAUAGGGAACAAAUAAGCGCAGUAAUGCCACUGCCUUCUCUUGUCUCCGCACAUUAAUUCCAAAGAACUUUCAACCGAAACACUACGGUAGAAGCUGGUGAACUCACCAUGAGAAAAGAUCCAUUUUCCAAUGGAUAAAUAUUUUCUUUAGCUCAAAACUUCAGCAUUGUAAUUAUAAUUCUCUAGUUAAAUUUUUUUAAAAAAAUAUAUAUAUAUAUAUUGGCAUGGCCCUCCACAUGAGCACAACUUUCUUUCCUAAUUUUGAAUGGGAACAACCAUCAUUUUAUUUCAGUCAAUUGUUUUACAUUUGAUAAAUGCUCCAGCUGGAGAAGUAGAACCAGCAAUGCAUGUGGGAGCAGUUUAAUUUGGUCAACAACAAGGUACAUUUUUUAAGUAAUUGGUUCCGAAUCUGAGUUCAUAAAGGAGUUUUCUAGCCAUCACAAGUUGGCUUAAUUAACGAGAAUGAGUCAUUUUCUUGUAAAAAGUUGUAUGCUCAAAAUUAGCUGUUAAUGUGACGGUUGUGUUGAAAAAGAAUCUGUGAGAAUCUCUGUAAACGACCUAUGGUCCGGAGAGAUAUGCCUUGACUCAUAGUGAUGACCGGAGUCGAACCACCCAAAUUUUAAUUUACCCAAAAAAAAAAAAAUGGAGUUUCUGAAAAAGCAUCCACAACCAUUAAAACAGCUUGCCUAUUUGACCUAUCUGAUAAUGACUUCCAGGCUGAUAUUACCCGCAGAUUCUUCAAAUCCGGCUGCCUCGUACAUGAAAUUCUUUCCCUGAAAAAUGUGGUGCUGAUUGUAAGAGUCGACUUGAUGAACAGUAAUAAAAGGUACUGAUAUUUAUUAGUUUGCCAACAAUAAUCAAAUUUAGCUUAACAUAGUAAACGAAAUUAAUCUCGUGCUUAAUUUCAGUUUUCAAUUCUAGUGGUGGUACGUUUGAAGUAGAAGAAUCAGAUUGAAUUUGAUUAAUGCAACCCUGCCAUCUUUGUUUGUUUGUUUGUUUGUUGAUGAUUAUACUAAAUAGAAUACAUUAGUAUGGUUUAUAUUUUGAUUGUUCAGCUGCAUUUUGCACGAAUGAUAAGAAGUCAGUUCGUGAUAUAAUUAAUUACUAAUGGAUCGUUGUCAGUUGGGUGACCUAUCAAUAAUGAUACUUGAAGCGGAAAUAAUUACUGAUCACUACAGGGAAUAGUAUUACUAUUAUUUUCCACCCUGGAAAAAGUCCUCCCUCCGUAGCUAACUAACAACCCUGUCAUGCUCUUACGUUACUUCACCAGAAAGAAAGAGCAAAGGGCAGGGUAAAAAAAAAAAUGGAUAUAUAUAUAUAUGAUCCUAUAUUAUACACCCAGCAUUAGCAUUAAGAAGAAAGCAGCUUAAUUAAUUGGAAGAUUUGACCUGUGAAAUUUGUUUCCAAGUACUAUGGUAUAUAUUUAGAAAAUCAAAUUGGAAGAAAAAACGAAACAUUACUAACUUGCACGGAAGAUGUUGCUUGCGAAAAUUUUAACUUAAAAAAGUGAUCAUAGGAUUAGGAAAGCUCGCAUCAUACCUUGGCGUGUUCGUAUCGAUCUGCUGCUCUCAAGUUAGUACUAAUUUUAACGUUUGGACCCAUAUUGUCUACACGAACACGUUCUGUCCAGUUCAAUUCGACCAAAUUAAAAGACUUCCAACUUGAGUUGUGGCAUCCCUCUCUAUAGCUAACAAUAAUAUACCAUCAAACCUAUUCAUUCAUCAACGAUAAGGAGUCCUUGUUCGAUCAGAAAGUUCUUUUUUUUUUUGUUGUUUUCGGGUGAAUGAUAAGCCUUUGGUCCGGUGGAAAAUCUGUUCAUCAUAUAGUACCAAGUAUAACUAUGUCAGCUGCUGCAAGAAACUCUCCCUACAAACUUCAGGAUUUGGUCACCCUACUUUACCGUUAUAGACUUUCUUCAUCGGUGGCAAAUGCCGGCAACCGCCAGUUCUUGUCAUCCAAGUUCCGUUGUGGCAAUUACAUGAAUCAAGGGUACUUAAGAUCAUUCACUAGCGCCCCCAUCGACCAAGCUGAUGCAAAAGGAAAACCCGAUUUUCAAAUGUAGCAGUCUCUCUCUCUCUCUCUCUCUCUCUCUAUAUAUAUCAUCUGCUGUCUCAUCUUCCAUUUUGCUAAAUAUAUUCUUCUUCUUUUUUCUACCUGUUCUUUUGGGGCUGUGUUUUGUUUGUUGUAGAUUGAAGGACGCAGAGAAGAAGGUUCAGCCAACGUUGCCGGCUUCUGCUGACAAGCAAAGCUUUUCAUCGUGGUAAUUAAGAACUAGCUUGUUUGGCAUGACUAAGGAGUACGCAGUAGGCAUGACUCAGAUAUGCUCCUCUGAAUAAUGUGCAAUUUUCUUAAUGAGUAUAAUAAGGGUAUGGAUCAUCUGGAGAGUAAUGCAUAUCCCAGCUUGAGUCCUCUCUUAACAAGUGCAUAUAUUAAGUACUCGUUAACCAAACUGAUUGUUAAAUGCUACUUCAUCCAAGGAAAAAGAUUGCCAAUGUAAAAAACACUUAGUUCUGCCUAACCAAAAAAUAUAUAGCUACUCAAAAGAUAACCAAUGAAUUAGACUUCAUAGAAACACAAAUUCCCCAGUUAGAAAGGAUGAUCUAUGUCAUACCCCACAAACUAUGAACCAAUCUUUAUGCCACAUCUAACAGCUAAGAAGAACAGUAAUUUACGCUUCUUGCUUAUUAAUUCAGCCUGCAUAAAAGUUUGAUUCGUUCGCUGCCUUCAAGUUCCCUCUCAACAUUGAAGACACGAUCUUUUUAUGGAUUAAAGGAGAGAACUAAAUUCUGCAGGGCCAAGUGGCUUUUGGGUUCUUUGAUGACAUUAUUGUUGCCUUUCUGGAAGCAAGAGUGGGAAAGCUUACGAGGACUGGAAGGUACGUUUGUGUUAUGCGUACAAAACAACGAUUCUAUGGGGCCGGGUAUUUGAUUAAAAGGUGAUUUAAUUACUUGGAUAGUUGCAUCUCACUAAAUUAAAGCUUCUUUGAAUCAUAAUCGGGGAGCGUCCAGGGAAGGUGGAAAAGGUCGUUGGAGAGGUAGAAGUUGUAGCGGAGGUGGUGGAGAACGUGGCCACUGUGACGGAGAAGGUGUCAGCAGAGGUGGCUGAAAAGCUUCCGGACAAUAACAAAAUCAAAGAAGCUGUGCUGGCGGUAGAACACUUAUCAAGUGUGGCCGCUCAAGAGGCUAAAUUAAUCGAAGAUUUUAUUCACAACGUAUGUGGAUCAGUUAAGAAUAAAAAAGAAAACCAUUUGCUGUAAAUCAAUUACUGGUUCACUAAUGGCAGCUUGGCUACUUUGGGUUGACAGGUUGGUGACAUGAAGCAAGACCUGAAAGAGAUGGAGAAAAUAGCAGAGCCUGCAAUUGAAAAAGUAGUGGAACCCCAUCAUCAAGAACAAGCAGCUUAGAUGGACGCGAUUUUCUCGUGGCAAGGAGUAUUUUCCACGGCACUAAACGUGCAAUGCUAAUUAGUUCCCUGAUCCAUUUCUGUAAAAGCCUCGUCUUUGUUCUGUAAAUAACUGAUCAAUUCGUACGUGCAAUUUGCAGAUGGCUAUUGAAAGACCAAUAAGUUGAGCUUGGAAAAUGCUCUUUUAGAUUCCACUUGAUGAUCGAAUUUUGCGUAAUUAACAGUCUAUUAAUUGUUUUUGUUCUUCUGAAAGCCAUGCAGCUUCAUCAUAGACUAUAUCUGUUUAAGCAUUUAACUUCCAGCCAAGAAGCUACAUUUGUGUCUCUUCCAACUCCAUGCAUCUCCCAAAUUACCUUAGUACAAUAUGUAGCCAUCAUUGUCCUAUUUGCGAAAAGUUCCAUACCGCCAUCAUUGUCAAAAAAAAUAAUUAAUUAAAAUUAAAAUACUACUCCCACCUAGAAUUUUACAGAAAAUAAAAAAUAAAAAAUAAAAUACUACUCCCUUCCACGUGACAUGUUACACGUUAGGCGAUGGAUGUCAUUGUAGCAAAAAACUAAUUCUAGUGUCCAUGUAAGAUCUAUGUUGGUAGGCCAUAUAUAAUAACUUCUGUAAGUGACCAUGUCCUAAGCCAUAGUAGUGAUUAAAUUCGAACCCAUUUGAACUUUUAAUUAGUAAAAAAAUUUAUUGGAGAGACCCAGCAGAAUUAAUAACAGAGGCAGCAGAAGCCCCUCAGAUUUCAGAAUUGAAUGAAAGUCUGUGGAAUGCGGAUUAAUACCACGUAACAACCCAUAGGCUUUUUUAUCCGCCGCUCUAUAUCACGUCAAUAAUGAGUGUGUCUAGGUAGGUAGCAGAUUAUUCGAAAUAAUUUUUUAAAAAAAUUAUUAUAAUAUUUUUUUAAUAUAAUAUAUAUAAAAUAAAAAUAUUAUUGAAAAAUAUGUUAACAAUACAAACAACUAUUUUCUAAUCCAUGAUGAAGAUUAAGGAUCAUUCUUUUAUAAUUGGGUAGAUAAGAUUUUGUUAAUAUCCGAAAAAGAUACAAAAUACAAGGGGCAUACCCUAUCCGGCCAUAAAUCAACCAACAAAGACACAGAUACGCUCACACUGUUGACAAAUUAUCAUUUAGAGAGAAAUUACGCGUAUUUCUUCUCUCGGUAUAAUCCCUGAAAAAAUCGCUAAAUGGAUGAUAGCUUGAAGGUUCAAAUCUUCAGCAGAAAGCUGAUAAAACCAUCAAAUCCAACUCCAAGUCAUCUUAGAAGCUUCAAGCUUUCAUUGUUCGAUCAGCUAGCUCCUCCACUAUAUGUUCAUAUACUCUUCUAUUACUUGCUUGAUGAAGAUCACAAUCGAGCCGAAAACGAUGAGAGAUUUGCUCAAAUGCAGAAAUCCUUGUCCCGGGUAUUAUCCAAGUAUUACCCUCUAGCUGGCAGAUUCCUUAAAGAUGAACUCUUGAUUGAUUGUGCGGAUCAAGGAGUUGAAUACUUUGAGGCACAUGUCAAUGGAGAACUUGUGGAGUUUCUUCAAGAAGGACCAGAGAUUGAGCUUCUGAAUAAAUUUCUGCCCUGGAAUCCUCCUCCGUCGCCAUAUCUGGCAACAAGUCCACUAGUAGCAGUCCAAAUCAACAAGUUUGAAUGUGGAGGAGUAGUGGUAGGCAUCCAAAUUUCACACUUCAUUGUAGAUGCCAGUUCAAUGAUGACAUUCCUGAAGGAAUGGGCUAACAGCUGCACUAGCCCGACAGAGAUGUAUCCAGUGCUCAGUCCUAAUUAUAAUGAUCACUUUGUUUCAAUCUUCCGGCAAGAACACUAUCAGGGCCUAAACCCCGGACCAGCCGACUACCCUGCUAAGAUAGUCACGCAAAGAUUCUUGUUAGAUGAAACGAUAAUAGAGAAGAUCAUGGAAGGAGCUGCUUUAUCUUGUUCAAAAUGUAAUUUUCAUCCAUCUAGAGUGGUGGUAGCGUUAGCACUGAUAUGGAGGGCUCUCCUAGGAGUAUGUCUUGCCAAACAUGGGCACUUCAGGGACUCAAUUGUUGCUAUUGCAAUGAACUUGAGGGGGAAAACAGCUCUAACAAUAUCAGAACCAAAUUAUGGGAACUUUUGGACCUCGGUCAUAGUUCCAUUGGAAGCGAAAAAAGCCAAGAUACAGUUGCAGGAGCUGAUGAUAUUACUCGAUAAUAGAAUAAAAUCCACAAGUGAAAAACUUGCAACAGCUAGUCCUGAGGAUAUUUCAUCAAUGCUGAUCGACUCCCGCAGAGAGAUUAUUGAGAAACGUUAUCUGUCCGUUGGUAUAGAUGUUUACGUUUGUACCAGUUGGUGUAGGUUCCCGAUACAUGAAGUUGAUUUUGGUUGGGGAAAACCACAUUGGGUAAGUCAUGCAAGCAAAGCAAUUGAGGCGAUUGGUUUGGUGGAUGCCAAAAAGGGAGAGGGGCUUGAAGCAUGGGUAAGUUUGAAAGAGGAGGACAUGAUCGAAUUCAAAAGAGCACUGGAAGUUUUAGUGCCAGUGCCCAAAUGAUAAUUCUAGCGUCCUUGAAGUUUAUACUGUGAUUCCACUUUGAUUAGCUACAUUUUACGGUAACAUCGAAUCUUGUUUUCCCGUCCUUUGUACUGCAGUUAUGGUGCUAAUAUUCUGAAAAUCAUGUUUAGAAUUUGUUUUUCAUCUUAUACUUUUUUCUGACAAACUAAGACAAUGCCAGUACUAUUUAUUUAUUCGAUUAACAGAUCAGCAGAGUGAGGUGUCUCCUGCAAUUCAACCGUGUAAAUCUUCCUGUUUGAAAGAACUAGUUUUGCCAAGGGACUUAUCACUUAUCAGGGCUAUUCCCCUGAUCGUUUCAAACUUUAGCUCAUAUCUAAUGCAGUCAGCUGAAGCUACAUUAUCCUCAAUCACAUGAAAAUUGCCAAAUUGCGUCAGACAUGCUAGAUUGGAAAAGACCUCACAGAAAAAGAACCUCCCAAGUCUUUAAAGAGGAAGUUCAACAUUGUAUCAUCUUUUGAUCUUUCAGAAUGGUAUUCCUAUAUACAUCAGACAGGCUUCAAGAAGUAAACAAUUUUCAGACAACUAUUGCACAAAUUGCAGCUAAAAUGCAUAAAUCAGGAAAAAAGAAUGACACGCAAUGCAUGACAGUAGAAAGAACAUAUAAUGACUAUCACUAGAAUAAGGUUAUAUUAUUAUCUGUAUGUCAAUCCUUUUGUCACUUCAAUCUGAAUUGAAAUCAUGAAAACUGUCAGUUCAUCUCUUGAUCAUGCCUGAAUAGCAAUCAUCCAGUGCUGAUUUUGCCGCUGGAAACAGAGAAGCUUACAAGUCAGAUCCAUUUAUUUAGCUCCCAGCGCUGGGUUUACCAUUCUUGUUGCUAAUUAAGUUCGGAAAACCAUUUGAACUGAAGUCAUAUAUGUGGCCCAAUUUGACACGUUUAGUUUCCAAAUAUCUCUUGUUCUCUUUUGUAAUGAAACUUUGAAGAGGGACGCGCCCAGCAACCGCUAGACCAUAGCCCUUGAGCCCACUGUACUUUGCAGGGUUGUUUGUCAUCAGCUUCAUUCCACCCAUGAGGAACCAAUAGACUUCCACCCCUGGCUGACUCUUGAACAUUCACCUACGGAUGCUUCUUAGACUGAAACAAAGAUAACUUUUGCAACAUUUCCUUCUUUUGUAGAACUUCCUAAAUCUGUUCUUGUUGCCAUUAUUAUUGAACUUGGGUGUAGAUAUCAUGUUUUAGCUAUUUCUCUAUCUCUGGGUCCCCUGUUGUUGAUGUAUCUUUGCCUAUUCAGUGGCUUUUGAAUCCUUAAGCUGCUUCAUUGGAGAGGAAACUCACUGUGAUUUAAUCUUUUUCCAUGGUUAGUCUGUUAACCUGAACAGUAUCAUGAGUACAAGUGCGUUCCACAGAGAGAGAGGGAGAGAGGGGACCUGAGUACUAUCAUGUUUACAAGGGUAUUACACGAAGAGAGAAACAGGUGUGUGUGUGUGUGUGUGUGUGUGUGUAUAGAGAGAGAGAGAGAGAGAGAGAGAGAGAGAGAGAGAGAGAGAGUAAAGCUACAGGAAAAUUGUCAGAUAUGGUGUUGAAUUCUGCUUAAAAUCAUUUAGCUCAUCAACAAUCAGCCCGGAAAAAACAGGCUACUGCCACCUUAUAUUAAUUUCCUUAUUUGUUGGUAAUAGUUUAUGUGGUGGAUGAAUAUUAGCAGGAUGCAAUGGGAGUUGAUGACUAAGACCUUGAAUAAACCAAGAGUAGUCAUACCUUUGAAGUAGUAUGCACCAUGGAUUUCUUAUAUUAGCAUUGAUAUACCAUAUAUUUGGUCAGCCAUGAUAUUUUUAUAUUAAGAGCAGAAGAUGUUAUCAUAAAGCUAUGUGGCUUUUCCCUUUCAUUUAAAUUUCAUAGCAGUUCUGCAGUUGUUUAAUCUGUGUCAAUGUUGCACUUACUGAAGGGUAAACAUGGAGUAAAGUCUUAAGAAAACAGACUCGACUCUUAAGCGCAGAUUAAUUUUUUUGUACGCACAGGUGUCAUUUUGAGUUUUUCUUUUCAGUUUUAAUCUUCAUGUGCGUCUGAAUCAGGUAAUUGAGAGUCCUAAUCGUAGAUCAUAUGAGGUUGGGAUUGCUGUAUAAAUAGCAUGUAUGGAUCUAUUAUCCUGGGUUCUUACCUUUAGCACUAAUUUAUAUUCUCUUUUCAAGUCUGAUGGUUCUAAUGAGGAGUUUUUUUGGAAAGAUAUAGUGCCUAACUAUGAAAUGGUUUACCCAUAGUAUAUGUUUUAUGAUCGUCUUAACCUCCUUUCUCAAGGGGAAAAGAUUGAUGAAGAUGCUUCAUCUGGGGAUGCAUUUGAAGAUGCGCUUGAAUCUGAAUUCUUGACCGCUGAUAUUGUAGAUUCUGAGGAGGUUUGUAUUAUAUGCCCCAACUUGUUCCCAAUAGAGUUUUUUCUUUUUCUUUUUUUUUUGAAAAACCUCUUGUAUUUAAAUUUGAUAGGAACACAAACUCUUGACAUGUUCUUUAGUGCUAAAACUGUCUUUUACACCUUGUUCUCCUGUGAGGAUAAUUAGUAUGACAUUUUCUUUUUAUUUAAAGCUUUGUGAGCUGAUGGUAUUGGUAGAAUUGUUAGAAUUAACAUACGUCUUUUGCCAAUAAAGAAUCAGAAGUCAUGAUUGGUUUUGACCUUAGUGGUGUUAGUUGCUUUCAGAUUUCUAAGCUUAUUGUUGUCAGUCUGUUUAAUUUUUUCUAAGACUUUACUGUUAAUUAUCUUUUUAUUAGUAUGCCAUAUUCCUCAUUCUUAGUUGAUACUAAUUUAUCAGGAGGUGCCAGUGGGCUUAGAGGAGCCAUCUGGGGGCAACGAUUCAACUCUGCUGCCUAUUCUUUGUGUUGAAGAUGGAUUGGUGAUUCUACGUUUUUCAGAAAUUUUUGGCCUUUAUGAGCCUUUAAAGAAGUCUGACAAAAGGGAGCGCAAAUAUCCUGUUCCUAGAGGUAUAUAUUUUCUGUACCUGAAUGUUUCGAGUAUAUUGCUGCUAAUAAAUUUUAUGGCAGUAAUAUAUUAAUCACUUGCGCUUAUUCACCUUAUGCAUCUCUUUAUGGACUUCCAGUUUAGCCAUUGGUCCUUUCCUCAUGUUGAAUGUUUUCAGAUAAAUUCAAGACUAUGGAUACUCCAGAAAAUGUUGAAGAAGAUGAGGAAACAUUCUUGAAGGGAUCCGGCUUAGAUGUGUCUGGUACGAGACAAGCCCAAGUGGCUCAACACAAUGUUUUAACAUUUAUGGACGAUGAUUUAGGAUCGGGGAAGUUUGGUGUUAUCCAGGAAGAUGGUAAAAUUGAUGCAGAAGUUGACCAGUGUAGAAAAGAUUCUUGUCAGAGUUCUGAACCAUUUAAAGAAGAUUUGCCAGUGAUGCUUCCUCCAGAGUGGAACUCACCUAUUUGUCCAAAGUUUUACCCUCUUGAUCAACUAAACUGGGAGGAUAGGAUAAUUUGGGAUAAUUCUCCAGCACAGAGUUCCAGUGUUGAAGAGAGUUGUGAGAUGUCUGGACCUGAUUCUGACGUACUGGGUGAUAAGAAUUUUGAGGCCGAUACUCACCCUCUGGUGUCAGAUCUUGAAAGAGAACGUUGUGAACAUGAACAUCCUUUUCGUCAUGGUUUUUCCAUAUCACCAGAGCCCUUUGGUUCAGGAAGUCUUUCUGAACCUUCGAAACUGCCUUACUGUGAAAGAAUGUAUCAUCCUCAACUUUUAAGGUUAGAGUCUCGAUUUGAUCAAGAUGAUCCAAAUAAUACUGACCUUGGACAUGAAGGAGGCUCUGAAAAAGUUCUAGGUAAUGGUGUCAUAAGCCGUUUUAAUAGGCUUAUGUUAGAGAAUGGAGAUCUGCAGAAGGAUCUUGGUUGGACAAUAUAAUUUGGGAUUCAAAUCAGCCCAUUUCAAAGCCGAAGCUGAUAUUAGAUUUCCGAGAUGAACAAAUGCUUUUUGAAAUUCAAGAUAAUAAGGACAGUAAGCAUCUUAGGCUUCAUGCUGGUGCUAUGAUUAUAACCCGUUCAGUCAAGCCUAGUACUGGUGACUCUGUCGAGCUACAUAGUCAUGGAGGUCUUUCAGGAGGUAGGUUUAACAUCUCAAAUGACAAAUUUUACUCAAAUAGGAAAUCUUCCCAGCAGGUGAAAUCACAUAUGAAGAAGCGUACAGCUCAUGGUCUCAAAGUUCUGCAUUCAAUUCCAGCACUUAAGCUGCAGACGAUGAAAGCUAAGCUAAGCAAGUAAGGGUUGAGUGCCACAUUCUUUUUGUAGUUCUUUUACCAUAGAUGGUCUGUUUUACUUUGUUUAACAUGUGUAAAUUUUUAUGCUUGAGGCUUGGCUGUUUAUUCAGCAAGUUGAUCUUCUUAUUAAGUUCCAAUCUUGACCCUUUGUCAGUUUUCUUACUUGUCUACUUUUCCUGUUCUAAUCUUCUUUUGAACUUAUUGUCUUAGUUCAUGUUGUUUUUUUUGUUAAAAUGUCAUCUCUUAUCCAGUAUGUGAGGUUAUUUUUGUCUUCUACUUGCAUUGGAUGCUCUGUUUCCUAUUCGUAUUAUGGCUUUGAGUGCGUGUUAGUCUGCUACUGCUUAUUGUGAAUUUUUUGAUGUACUUUCAGUAAAGAUAUUGCUAAUUUCCAUCGACCAAAAGCUUUAUGGUAUCCUCAUGAUAAUGAGGUGGCACUGAAAGAACAAGAGAAGCUGUCUACGCAAGGACCUAUGAAGGUCAUAGUAAAGAGUUUGGGAGGCAAAGGAUGUAAACUUCAUGUGGAUGGCGAGGAGACCAUCUCUUCAGUUAAAGCUAAAGCUUCAAAGAAACUAGGUCUCACUUUUAUUAUGCUUCUGAUGUUACUAAAUUUCGUUGUUAAAAUCUAGUUGUUCUUCGUUUGCUAUAGAAUAUGGAAAUAUUGUUUUAUCUCUUGCUUGUAGAUUUUAAAUUGUCUGAGCCAGUGAAAGUGGUUUAUUCUGGAAAGGAGCUAGAAGACCACAAGGCUCUUGCUGCACAAAAUGUGCGACCAAACUCCUUGUUGCACCUUGUUCGUACAAAAAUCCAUUUACUACCCAGGGCACAAAAAAUCCCUGGUGAGAACAAGUCUUUGCGUCCUCCUGGGGCAUUUAAGAAGAAGUCCGAUCUUUCAGUAAAGGAUGGUCAUGUCUUUCUGAUGGAGUAAGUCUUAAAAGUUCUUGCUUAUCAUCUAUACACCAGUCCCUUAUGAAUACAAAAGAUAGUCCAACAAUCUCAGUCAAGAUUAAUUCUAUUCCAUGUAAUUAGAUCAGCUUGUGAUUUGUUAGAUGUGAAGAUCUUGGUCAUAAUAAAGUAUUGUUUAUUGGAACUGUGGGGCAGAAUACGUCUUCACCUUGACUGUAAUUUUUUUUCACGUUUACAAUAGUGAAAAGUAUAUCUGAGGUGCUGAAUCAAUGAUUAUGUUGCUGUUUGCAUUAUAUUAAAUGUUGCCACCUCCUUGUCUAACAUUCUGUUCGUAAACACUAUAAGACUUUGUAGAGUAAUUGUGAUGGUUUGUUUUUUUAUGGUUUAAGCAUAUAAAAUUGUCAUGGAGGAGGAAGAACUAGUAAUGCAGGUAUUGGUGCGAUGUCUUGGUUGUUUAAGAGUUAAUACAUCGUUUUCCCAAGGUUCUUAUAUGAAGAUGGUUAAGUAUGUUAUUCCUGUGAUUCUUCUAUUGGAACUUAAGAAUAAGUUUCAUAACACGUAAAUGUAGCACACCAAAUUGGAAAUGUGGAGUUUUUGAACUCUAAACAUGUUCUGCCACAUGCAUUGCUAUUAAGCAUUCAUUGUGAAGAACUUAAGAGUGAAGGAAAGAUUGAAAGAUUGAGCAUUCAUUUUUCUGUCCUUAUUUGAUGGGUUCAUCUUUGAAACAAAUUUAUUGCUUGGAGCCCUCCAGAGGUCUAUUUCUCGUGCUUGUGCUGAUGGGAUGUGUUUAAGUCGCAAAAUGGAGACUUGUCAAACCCUUACAUAGGGAUCCUUGACAGGGAGAGGGUUUACUAUUUCUAUUAAAUAUAGGCUUGUCAUUGUGAAAUGGAUUACUAUUUUAUCUUUCUUUUUUUGGGUCUGAGCAUGGAGAGAAGUUGGGGUGGGGGUGUUCUUUAACAGUUGUAAAAUUUGGCUAUGCUGAAACCUCUAGAGUACGUGUCUUGCAAUAAAUGUUUGACAUGUCAUAAAAUUCUGUAAAUAAUUGCAUCUCUCUGAUGUUCUUUCUUUGGUGUGUUACUGGCAGAUACUGUGAAGAAAGACCUUUACUCCUGGGAAAUGUGGGAAUGGGUGCAAGACUGUGCACUUACUACCAAAAGUCUGCCCCUGGUGAUCAAACAGGGAACUUAAUGCGAAAUGGGAAUAACGGAUUGGGGAGUGUUUUAAUCCUAGAUCCUGCUGAUAAAUCCCCUUUUCUUGGGGACAUAAAACCUGGUUGCAGUCAAUCAUCUCUCGAAACCAAUAUGUAUCGAGCACCUAUAUAUCAGCAUAAGGUGUCAUCAGCUGAUUUUCUAUUGGUCCGAACCGCAAAAGGAAAACUUUCAAUAAGACGAAUUGACAGGAUUGAUGUUGUUGGACAACAGGUUAAAAAGAUUUUCUUUAUCUUUUAUUUUUCUUUAAAUAUCUCGGAAGGGUUACAUUUCAACCAAAUCUAUUGUGUUACCUUGGAUUUGUUGCUUGAUGACAGGCAUAGGUACAUGCUCGUGCGAAAAUUGUUUGAUCUGCUUGUCUCUGUAUACAUGGAAUAUCUCUCUCUCUCUCACACACGCGCACACACACACAGAGUUGCCUUUCAUGUUCCCUCUUCCACCACUACAUAUUUAAAUUUUUGUUUGCAUGUUAGAAUAACUAUUCUUGCACAUGGUUGACGAGAGGUUUGAAGGCUGGUCUCACCCAUUUUGAGAGAGGAGUACAGAAGAAAGUCCCGUUAUUCUUUCUGCUACGAAAGUUGGUUGUUUGUAGCUAAUGAAUACUUAAAAGAUGUGAAAAUUCUGUAUAUGGCUCUGAAUGAUAUAAAUUUAUUGAUUCAAAAGAAUCAGAGGAUAGAAAACUGCAACUUCAAGGUCAAUGCUAAUCAUUAAAUUCCUGCAUAGUACUUGCAUAGAUAGAGCAAGUUGGGUUUGAAUGAAGGGAAGAGUGGGGAAAGGAAUGUAUAUAGUCUAGUGGCAAAGAAAUGAAAGUAGUAGCAUAAGUAUAGUUGUGGAAAAAGAAAAGAAAAAAGAAAAAGAAAGUGCAUGAUAAAGGAUUUUUUCUGCCUUUAUCAGUUUUGUUUUUCUCUUCAGGUGUCUUAAAGUUCUACAGAUUUUGUUUUCUGGAGAACAAAUUCUUUGGAGCUUAAUUAGUCACACACUUCAUAUCAUUUCUCUGUGCAGUACUUGAUUUAGAAGUUGCUUAGGUGGUCUUGUCUUGUCUUGCUUUUGAUUUCAGCAUCUUUGUAUUCAGCUGCAGCUUUCUGAUGGCUUUCAUAAUGGUUAAAUGAGUUGAAGGAAAAACCAGAAAUUUUCUUUUAUUGACUUUGGGGUUGUUUUCUGUAGCUUUUGUGAUCUGGAGAAGUAUUCAUUGCAUCUAUAUUCAUUUUGUUAUUGUAAUCUGACUAUCUUAUUAUUAAAGCUUGAUAUAUGUCUGAGGGAACGAUACAGCUAGAAGUGAAGUGAAGUUUGGGAAUAACCUCUGUUGUGCACAUUUUGAAUUCUAUUUCUUGUUUCACCUAAAAAAUCAUAGCAAAACUUCAAUUCUUAAUUUUAUCUUGUUUCAUGUCAACUAUGUAGGAGCCUCACAUCGAGGUAAUGUCUCCUGGAUCAAAAAGUGUUCAAACAUACAUUAUGAACAGGUUGAUGGUGUACAUGUAUCGUGAGUUUUCUGCUGCUGAGAAGCGUGGGUUACGGCCUUCUAUACGCGCUGAUGAGUUGUCUGCACAGUUUCCCAGCCUGUCAGAAGCAUUUCUUCGGAAAAGGCUAAAACAUUGUGCUGAUUUGCAGGUAUUAUACCUUUGAAUCUAGUUUACGGAUAUAAUCGAAUUAUUUGGUUACCAAUCCGACAACCUCAACGUCAAUCCCACUCCCCGGACUCUGCUCAUUAAAGAAGAGUGAAAAUAGAAAAAAGAAGUUAAAAGAGACGUUCAGGUUUAUAAAUUCAAGGAAACAAGGGAAUAGCGUACCUGUUUUUGAGGAUUAUAGGUUUUAAACUGGUGUCCUUUUGUUGACAAAGGGAAAGAACUUGAUUGUAAGAAUGAAGUAACUUAACUAAGUCAUUUGCUUUGGACUGUUAGUGAUUAAAAGACUCAGCUUCUAUGAUAUUAAUCUCUAGCAAUACUCUCUGUAUUACUCACUUUUUGAAAGUUGUGAAUUGUACAUCUAUUCCAUGUAUGGUCUAUUGUGUAGGUUAUGUGAUAGCUAACUGAUUCAGAAUUUGAACUUCUUCAUUCAUUAGUAACAAGUACCAAUUGAAUUAGGCAUCAUUAGGCCUAGAAAUUUGUUGACAGCAUCUUCUCUAUCAUGGGUAUAUUUAUCCUCUUUCAAUAGAAAAAAUAUGACCUUUCUAUAAUGAGAAUUUUUUGGUAAAUAUAUUGCUAAGUGCGUUACUGCAUGGAGAAGCUCACACUGACGCUGCUAUAUGUCAUUGAAUUAUUUUCUUUUCUUCUUAAUCUUUUGUGGUCGUGUAUGUGCACAUAGUUAACCUCAAUUUGCAAUCUACCAGAGAGGAUCAAAUGGACAGCUUCUUUGGGCUAUGAGGCGCAAUUUCCGCAUUCCUUUGGAGGAGGAACUAAGGAGGAUGGUGACACCAGAGAAUGUAAGCUCUUAGUUAACAAAUUUUAUCCAUAUUCCUCUUCCUUUAUACAUGUAGGAUACAACAUACGAUCUGCAUGUAUGUAUUUAGCAUGUGAUCAAGAGUGUUUUGUCACAGAUAUUUUCGAGUUUUCGGAUCAAUGGUUUGCCCCAGUUGAGUGUGAUGGGGUGGAUCAUAUGUUUGUUUUGAGCUUUAUAUUUUUAAAUUGAUGGUAUUUUGUCUGAAAACAUCGUGAAGUUCAACCUCCAUUUAAGAGUGGGACAUGUUGAAGUUUGGGAUGUUUUAGCGGUUCUCCUGGAAGGCUAUCCAUCACAUCUGCUGAUGUAUUGACUGAAAAGCUGUAUAAACAUGAUUUUCUAAAAUUUGAUUUAAUUGUAUUUGCCUGAAGCAAUAUAUUGUUUAUUGAGUUUGUUUUUCCUCCUUUACCUGUACUUGUGUUAUUAGAGUCACUCUUGAACACGAGGUAAAUUGAGCUUUGCUAGAUUCCAACAGUUAUCUGCUAGGAUAGAAUUUACAAUUACUUUUGACUGUUAUUUACUUAUUUGUAACAUUCGGAUAGCCAGCUCAACUGAUGUUUGGGGCAUCCUCUUUUGUCUUUUGAAUGCGUGCCUUGAUGCGGUUGGUCUGGAAAUAGGCUUCCAAUAAUUCUGCAAUGACCAGAGUCGAGAAAUUAAGUUUGUAUUUAACUUGUUUUCAGCCAGUCAAGUGUCCAUUUCAUAGAACUUGAGUGGGUAUUGUAGUAAAAAGCAUCUAAGACUAUUGAGAAUUUUGCUACAAUCUGGUUUCCACCUGCUGGUCAUCAGAUUAUAAGAGCAGUUGCUAAUGAACAAUCUCCCUUCUCUCUACUUUAAGGAUGUCCCUGUUCUUCUUUCACUCUAAUUUCAAAGGUAAAUAUUAUAUGGUUUUGUCCAAGCUAGCAUGCUGUGAUUCAACUUAAAACCACUGCAAGACAGAAUGGAUAUAUCCGUCUUCUUUCAUUUCUCCAGAUGGUAACUUCUUGUGGUGCAUGAAAUAGAAAAGCUGGAUGGAAAUGGGUUUUCUUCAUAUGUUGGAGGAAUUCAUUUACCUUCACCAAAAUGACUGCUUGUUGGAAGCAAACCUAAUCAAUUUCAACAAAUGAUAAUAUUAUUGAACAGGGGUGGAUAUAGAAGACCAAAAUAGGGGAAAAUUCUGUUUUCCGCUAAAAGGCUGCAUCAAUUUCUUUUUUUCCUAGUUAACCUUCUACCUUCCUCUUUGUUCCUAAUUCUUUGUCCUUAAACAAUUGCAUCCUUUUCACUUGUCUGAGAAUAGGUUUGUGCCUAUGAAAGCAUGCAAGCUGGCUUGUACAGGCUCAAGCGGUUGGGAAUUACUAGGUUAACUUCACCAACAGGCCUGUCAUCUGCAAUGAAUCAGCUUCCAGAUGAAGCUAUUGCGUUAGCUGCUGCAUCUCAUAUUGAAAGGGAGCUGCAAAUAACACCAUGGAACUUGAGUAGCAACUUUGUUGCCUGCACAAAUCAGGUAAUGAUAUCCAUACGUCAUGUACUUUUUCUAAAGAUGCUAUCUUUUACAAUAUGACGGAUGUACAAGUGACCUUAUAAAUUAUGUAUGGUAUCCAUUGGGAGGAUUCCAGUUCUUGUUGCUAUGAAAUAUGACCCAAAAGUUGUUUUCAAUGACCUUUUUAGGUACUUAAUCUCAGCACUAUGACUUCACUGAAUUUUCCCAUGUCUGCUGUUGAUGCAGGACAGGGAAAAUAUUGAACGUUUGGAAAUUACAGGUGUUGGUGAUCCAUCUGGACGUGGGCUAGGUUUCAGUUUUGUUCGUAAUACUCCUAAGGCACCUGUAUCAAAUACAAUGGUGAAGAAAAAGGCAGUUGUUGGUAAAGGUUCAACAGUAACCGGUACCGAUGCCGAUCUACGCAGAUUGAGCAUGGAAGCUGCACGAGAGGUGUGUUGAUUUUUCACCAAGAAUAAUCUUUGCUGAUAACCAAUGAGUGAACUAACUAUGAAAUGUUCUCAUUAUUUAUGCACCUCAAAUCUACAAGAAAUUAAAAAUUUUCUCAAUUUCUUACUGAUUUGAAAACGAAGUGUGUCUGUGGUGAAUUGGUUGAGCACUGAAAAGAGACAUUUCUAGCUACUUGUACAAGGCUGAAUUUGAUUCUGAUUAGUUUCUUUGAUAUUAAAAACUUAACUUAAUCAACAUUUUCUUGUUUGGUUAGCCAUUUGAUUUGAUCAAAAGUACAUAGAGACAUUGUUAAACUUAAGUUGGACUUUUUCUUGAAAUGUUCAAGGAAACAAACAUGGAAAAGGUGAAAUUUCCUAAUUCUACUUUGUUCAUAUUGUUCUCAUACUAUUGGACUACCAUAAAGAUGUGCUCGUGCCGGGCAUUGCAUGGUAUUUGACUCUUUAUAUUUCUGACAUAAAACCAGCAUACACAUUGAUUAAAAAAAAAAAAACUCAUAAAUGCAAUCCUAGAACCAUAAGUCUUGCAUGUAAUACUGACACAUUGCAUGUUUUUGUCUUCUGUCCCUAAAGAAUGGGUUAUUUAUUUUGAUGUACAUGAGAUGAUGUUGGCAUGCAUAUUGUAGGUUCUCCUCAAAUUCAAUGUACCAGAGGAGCAAAUAGCUAAGCAGACUAGGUGGCAUCGAAUUGCUAUGAUUCGGAAGCUUUCAAGUGAGCAAGCUGCAUCAGGGGUCAAGGUAGAUCCAACAACAAUCAGCAAGUAUGCUCGUGGCCAAAGAAUGUCGUUUAUGCAGCUGCAGCAGCAGACGAGAGAAAAAUGUCAGGAAAUAUGGGAUCGACAAGUUCAAAGUCUUUCUGCUGUUGAGGGUGAAGAAAAUGAAAGUGACUCUGAAGCCAACAGUGACCUAGAUUCCUUUGCUGGGGAUUUGGAAAAUCUUCUGGAUGCAGAAGAGUGUGAAGAUGGUGAAGAUGGUAAUAAUGUUUCCAAGAAUGAUAUCAUUGAUGGGGUUAAGGGGAUUAAGAUGAGAAGGCGACCUUUCCAAGCACAGGCAGAGGAGGAAAUUGAAGAUGAGGCUGCUGAAGCAGCUGAGUUGUGCAGAAUGCUUAUGGAUGGUAUGUAAUAAUCACUUUUACUGUUUCUAGUUAUCAUUCUUCUUGCAGCUCAAUAGCUGCUGGUCAUAUAAAAUACAGAUGUAAGAUUUUAGACAGCUCUUCAGUACGAUUAUUUACUCAAAGUGGUGGUGGGUUUAUAUGGAAUGCCUUGAUGACGAAAUACAUUCAGUACAAUAAGGAUUUAAAUGGUUUCAUCUUGUCGUUGUCCUUUAAUUUCUGAGUCAGUUUUGCAGGGUCCCUCUCUGUGUGUGGUUCUGGAUGUGCGUGAGUGAUGUUUAUACUCUGUAUUGGAUAGAUCAAUGUUUUUGCUUCAUUCUAGGACCUUGAUCAACAGGUUAAUGCAGGGAAGAAUAUGAUGCUUCUGGUUUGUUGGUGGUCUUAUAUUAUUCCUAGAAUUAAUCAACCGAACUAAAAGAAGUUAAUAGAAGAAUAAACCCAGAGAAAUAUUUGUACCUUGUGAGUUGUCCAAUCCCUUGACAAGCAAAUUGUAACAUGAAUUGAUGACUUGUCAAACAGUUGUGAUAUCUGGACAUGUUUCUGUCCUCUGAUAGACACAAAGCAGGAAUCACUUUAGUUGGUCCAAGUUACUCAACAAUUUCAUGUGGUUGUAGUUUUAAGUUGUCUUCUGGAGUUUCUAAAGUAAAAAGAAAAUGUGCAUCAAAUGAGAAGUUACAAGUCUUUUUCACUGAUGUAAAUAUUGAACCACAAACUUUCCCAUUUCUGAUUGAUAAAGUUGAUUCUGCAGAUGAUGAAGCUGAUAGAAAGAAGAAGAAAAAAGUUAAAGUUGGAGGGGACCAAGUUCGGUUGGGUUCAGUCUCGCAAUUGAAGCUUGGUGUUGAGAAUGUUGAGCGAAUACAGAAAACGAACAAUGUUAUCAAGAGAAACAUACAACUAGAUGGACAACCUCUAGCAAAGGAGAAUGCCACUAGAGAUCGUAAAGAGGUUCAGUUUCUUUGUAUUGUUCAUUUAUUUUUUGAAGUUUUUGUGUGUCCUUCCAAUUUGAUCCAAAUGUUUGGCAUUCUUUGGGACAACCAGACAAAUUUGAGGGUCUUCCUACAUACCACAUAUCAUGCACCUACAAGAACUUCCAACUUACCUCUCAUAACUCAUGAAUACUGGCUGUGAAAAUGGCUAUAUGCUUUAAGUAUCCUAGCUACAUAUUUGAUACAAGUCACCAAACUGGUAGCUAGCCUCCCUUGACAUCAGACCUCUGUUUAGUCUAACCGCUUGCGUCCAGAAUCAAAACUUGCUCUAUAGCCUUGUAGCUUCACCAGAAGCCUCCUCCUAUUUUUGGCCUCCAAGACUUCUUGAACUCAUGUCUUAUUGGCUGAAUAUUUUCCUGGAGUCUCUUUUAAGCUAAACACUUGCAAUGAUUUCCACCACAAGUAACAUACUUGUUCUAAUUCAGAGAUACACAGUUAAUGUGGCUUAUGUUAUCGCUUUUCCUUUUCUGGAAAGCAGAAACAUGGGCUGUGGGAAAUAAUGAUGGUGAUUGAAUGCUCUCUUGUUCUUGUUGGCUUUAACCCACCGGGCCUGGCAUUCAUUAGAAUGAGGAGAUAGUCAGUGACAUUGACUGGUGGAGGUUGCAGGAUGCAUGGUGUUCUGUAUGAUGAUGUGUCAGAAAGUUGACAGUAGAGCAGUCAGCUUUCUAGGACAAUUUCCGUGAUUUUGCUUCGUGGCUCAAUUUGUGUAUUCUUUGGUUGCUUAAGCAGACAAACUUUCUUAGGCUUUUAUUGGUCAUAUCAUCAAGAUGAUGUGAUUAAGUUUUACCAUGGAAUGAAUGGAUCUUGAAGUCACACAAAUUAUACUGACAGUAAUUGCAAAUGUGUCCCCAAAUUCAAGUCAAGAAAAUCAGCAAUUUUACUUUUGCCUUGGUUUGGAUGCAGGACGAGAAUAUUUCAGCUAAAAAGAACUUAUCCGGGAAACUUAAAGCAAAGAAGAAGAAUGACAUUGAACAGAUGGAGCUUCUAAAAAAGAAAGUUAAAAUAUUGGGUGAUGGAAUUAAGGUAUCUCUCUUUGUUACUGGAUGUCCCUGUCUUGUUGCUGUGUGAUGGGAACAAUUCUGUGUUUCAUUCAUUUUAUACCAUGCUGGUAGUCAAAUUCCAUUUGAGCUGAUUGUUAUUGAAAUAUACAUACAUAUAUAAGUACUUAUAUGAGUUUCAUUCCCUCCUAACCCCGUGUGCAUAAUAUUACAAAACUAGCAAGCUUGUUUGAGUCUCCAUUGUCUCUAAGAUUUGAGUGACAUGCUACCAACGUAGAAAUUUUUCUGUUUGCCACCAGAUUGUCAAGGAAAAGAAAUCAGCAAGAGAGAGUUUUGUCUGUGGGGCUUGUGGUCAGGUUUGUGCUGAUACAUGAAUCUUGUUACUUUGCUUACAGCUCUGGAUCUUAAGAGAUUUUCCCCCCUUUUUAUUCCAUGUAUCAGCUUGGUCAUAUGAGGACUAAUAAAAAUUGCCCCAAAUAUGGUGAAGAUGUUGAAACACGUGCUGAAAACAACGAGCUGGAGAAGAACUUAGGGAAAGUUGGUAUUCUGGAUCAGGCAGAUCAACCCCAGCAGAAAACUUCUACAAAGAAGCUCAUACAGAAAAGUGCAACCAAAAUUGCUGUGGUUGAAGCCCACGAGGAUGACAAGUCUAGUACAAAGGCAAAAAUUCUGAAGGUCAAAUGUGGCACAACUGACAAACCCCCCGAUAAGCUCACUCCUGCCACAUCACAGAAUUCUGACAAACCUGUAACUUCAGAUGCUGAAACAGUACAUAAAUCUGCUGUCAAAGUAAACAAAAUUAUUUUUUCAAACAAAACUAAACCGGACGAUAUGCUGGUUGAGUCUCAAAAGCCUUCCAUUGUUAUAAGGCCACCAACAGAGUCUGAUAGAGACCAGCCUCGCAAGAAAAUCAUAAUCAAACGGCCAAAGGAGGUUAUAAAUGUGGAUGACGUAAGUCAGGAAGGAAGUAGUGGAAUUGAGUACCGGAAAACAAAAAAAAUUGUUGAAUUGACGAGUGUUGAUAAGCAUAGGGUGCGAGAAAUCAAAUAUUUCACUGACCAAGCAGCAAGCAAGAAGAACAGAGAGGAGAAGAGAUGGUUGGAAGAGGAGGAGAAGAGGAGGUUUGCUAUCAGACAAAAAGAAGAAAGAGCCCGAAGGUAUUUGGAGGAACAGAAAAGGGCAAUGGAAGAGCGGGAUAGAUUUUCCGAGAUAAGACGAUAUGAAGAAACCAUCCGCAGGGAGAGAGAAGAAGAAGAACGUGAAAAGGCAAAAAAGAAGAAGAAAAAGAAGAAAAGACCUGAAAUUAGAGAUGAUUACCUGGAUGAUUUUCCUCCCAGAAGAAAUGACAGGAGGAUACCAGACAGAACAGCAAAGAGGAAACCAGGACCUGAUACCGGAAGAUACAGUGCUGGCUAUGGCCCAGCAACAAAGCGCAGACGAGGGGGAGAGGUAAGUUUUUCCAUGAUGUUAAAUAACCUUUCCUCACAUUGGGGAAUAUUUUGUUUUUUGUAUGAUUACAGAUGUUGAAAUCUGCUUCAUCCAUAGGACUCUCACCCUCACCCCUCCUCCCCCCACCCUGUGAAAACCUGAGCAAUGAUUUGGAGCUUGCUACCAUCAUUCAAUGGAUGUGUGUGUUGAGGUGUUAGUAUGGUUGUUUUUAUUCUGGGGUUAUUUUGUUAGGCUUUAAUUCAUUCCUAAGAGUGCAAUGGUGUAAGCUUGUGCCUAUGAGUUUUGAUUCUUAUAGUAGGAGUAAGGCUAGGGAACUGCGCAAAAGGUCUCGUUACAUGUUUACAGAGUGGUUGGGAUGGGCUGAGAAAUUCCAAGAUCAAGUCUUGUGUAAUUUUACUUUUCUCUGACUUUGGUUGAAGAGCUAAAAGGACUGUUUUGAUUCUUAUAGUAGGAGUAAGGCUAGGGAACUGCGCAAAAGGUCUCGUUACAUGUUUACAGAGUGGUUGGGAUGGGCUGAGAAAUUCCAAGAUCAAGUCUUGUAUAAUUUUACUUUUCUCUGACUUUGGUUGAAGAGCUAAAAGGACUGUUUAUCUUAACUUAAAUUUGUUGGGCAAUUUUCUUUUGAUGUUUCUUGUUUGGCAGGGGAGGGGCGGAAGGAGGUUCUUUGGUGUGGGUAAUUGCUUUGCUUUGAAAACAAUAUUUUGCUAGUCAUCUGACAUUUCUGUCAAAAAAUGUCAUUUUUUGUUUAGAUGCUUGCCAAUCACACAAUCUCAAACAAAUGCACAAGAGUGAUGUGAUCUUGUUGUAGGCUUGUACUCCAUCUUUGUAAUUCUUUAAUUCUACAUUGUUAUUAUUUUGACUGGAUUGGCAUGAUAGCUGUUAAGUUUCCUGGGGAUGCUUUGCAUUAUCUUUAAUCUUGCUUGGACUGGAUUCUAGUAAAGCAGCAAAUCUAUCUGCUCAUGCUGGUGUUUUUCUUUAAUCUUGGUUGAAAAUGUAGAUUUGCAUGUAAAGCUCAUCUUGAUUUUAUUUCAGGUUGGCUUGUCAAACAUCCUGGAAAGCAUUGUGGAGACUCUCAAGGAGAAGCAAGAGAUUUCCUAUCUUUUUUUAAAGCCAGUUUCCAAGAAGGACGCUCCUGACUACCUUGAUAUCAUAAAGCGACCGAUGGAUCUGUCCACAAUCCGUGAAAAGGUGAGGAGGAUGGAGUAUAAAAGAAGCGAAGAAUUUAGGCAUGACAUAUGGCAAAUCACCUUCAAUGCCCAUGCGUACAAUGAUAGACGCAACCCAGGUAUUCCUCCAUUGGCUGAUCAGCUUCUGGAGCUUUGUGACUAUUUAUUAGAUUUGAAUGAUGCUGACUUAAGGGAAGCUGAAGCUGGUAUUGAACAUGGAGAUUGAUAGGUAGGAUUUUUUUUGAUGUGCCUCUUCAUUCCAGUUAAUUUAGAGAAUCCCUUAGUGAGAACCUUUUUAUUUUUAUUUUUUCUCGCUUCUCUCCUUUCUUGGGGUUCCUAGCACCUGGGGGAUGGAAAAACGUCCCCAAUCUGUAGAAUCUGUCUGUAUAUUCUGAGUUUUCUGUGACAUAUACGCCCUGUGACUCUUGUCUAUUUAUACAAGAGAAAAGGAAAUAGAGAAUAUAAUACUUAGAGCUCCUUAUUUUUGUUUUCUCUUGGUGGUUUCUUCUUUGAUUUUUCUCGAUACUUUUCUCGAUGGCAGAUGCUUAUUGCAGUUAUUAUUCUAUGAGAAAAUUGAGCUGUUGUUUAUAGGUCUUCGCUUUUCUAACACCAAAAAAGUCGAUAAUGAAACUUGCAACACCACUGCUGCAUAUUUAUACAUCUCUUCUUUUUUUUUUUUUUUUUCUGUCAAAAAGAAACUGUUCAAAUGUGGCUGCAGUUGUGGUGCAUUGCAGGGAAUGGUUGUGGCUUGGUAGUAAUUAUUGAUAGUCCUUAUUCUUUUAUUUUUUUUCUAUAUUAGUGUUAUCAUGUAUUUGCAAUCUCAGGCUCGCUCUAAAAAAAUAAGUAUGUAAACUCCAGGUCUAAUGCGGUUGAUUUGCCAAAAAAUGAAGAAAACCCACAGCCAGGGCUUCUGGCAGUAAACACAAAAUAGGCACGGGGAAAUGAUUCUUUGCUGCAAUGGAAAAUUCGGAAUAUUCUUAGUACCAGCAUCUUUGAUUAAUCUGGCAAAGCAGACAAUACGCUUUACAUGUAUCAAAUUCCUUAAAACACAAUUGGCACAGAAUCAGAGACAGAAAAUCAAGCGGCCAAUAAGAUUUUAGGCCACUUUCCCUGCCAAUUCAAAUCCAUGAAAUUCCAGAAACAAGGUGCAACAUAAUCAGACAUCCAAAAGGUCGCUAGAUUGCAAUCAAUUCCACCAUUGAUGCACGGCAACCCCUUGAUCUCUCAAGCUUCCGUACAAAGCUAAACACUGCCAAUAGGCCCUCUUGCUUUCAUUUUCGUCUCCCACUCCAUCAUCUUGAAAGUGGUUCUUGCACUCUAAGAACAACUCAUCCACCAAGCAGAUUGUCUUCUCCUCCAUCAUCUCAUCAACAACUUGUGCUUCUGCCUUCAUUACAACGAAGUCUUCUUGCCUCACAUUAUUCUUCAGCCAACCUGAUAUCCCAGCAGCAGGAUUCACCAUGCUUCUUGAUGACAAUUUUUCUGCAGUAAUCUCUAGAUUGUAUGUCUCAAAGUGUUGGUUUUCGGUUGGAUAGUUGUUGUGAAACCAACCUUCAAAACCAUUUUUGUCAUCUGAAAUCAAGAUCCUUCGUCUAUAACUUGCCAGGGAGUGGGAGUCCCCUAACAGAUGAGGAAGGAAUUUGAUUUUCCUCAUUUCAUCUCUCGAGUACUUCAACAAUGUCCUUCUGGGAGGCUCGAGCAAAGCAUCCUCUAAGCCUUUCAAUGCCAUUUUCCUGGCGUCUUGUGCGAUCUUUUGGCUGAAUUAGUGAAGCCAUCUUUACUGCUAAUUUUCCUCAUUGCAACCAUGGUAUUCUCAAACCGUCGCAGAUACACAAUCCUAUAAUUUGAUUGUCGUUGCAUCAAUCUUGAAGGAUCAUUGCUCAACUUUGUGAUCACAAUGCCGCCAUUCUUCAGAACGCGGUCGACGGAAUCAGCAUUCUUGAAGCUGAAGCUGAAAACGAAAUCAAAAGUUUCAUUCGGAAUGGAGUCCUCCAAGCUGGUUUCAGAGGCCACAAUAUUAUCACUGUCACUCACGAAGUCCAAAUCUUUCAUCAAAUCAUCAAGGCUAGAACCCACGAUGAGGCCUUUCUGACCCCUCUUGAUCAGGCCUUCGUCGGCCAAAUCACGAAAAAGAACAGGCAAUAUUUUGAAAUUAGCCAGAUCAGAGUUCACCUUAGAAGCAUUGGAAGAGCUUCUUAAAACAGAGCCAAUUGAAGGCAAUGUGAGCAAAAUGAUUGCCAAAAACAACGACCUGGAUACAAUCUGCAAAACCUGCGAAUCAGGCAGCUUAAUUACCAAAAGGGUAUGGGAAUUCAAUCCCGUCCCACCACCAUUCGGCUCCUUCGCCUUGAUGCCGGCGCUGGUUCUAUACCCUUGAGCCAAUUCCAUGUUUUCACAACAAAAAAGAACGAUUUUUGAUCUUCGUGCAACUUUUUUCAACUACUAAUCCUCCAAUGCACCUUCACCAAAAAAGCUGUGAGCAAAGAUGCAGACUUUUGAGCAAUAAUAAAGCCCAAAAUCAAGAAAUCUUAAUUAUAAUUGAUAAUCAGGAAAAAAAUCAAAGCCAAGGGGGAUGGAAAGAGGGAUUUAGCGGGUGCAAAAUCUGGCAGCGGUGUGGUUUCCACCCACAAGGGCCACACGGGUGCUUCGAGCUCUACACCAAAGAAGCAGCAACUCCCUGAUUCUUGCAAUCUCCAUACCUUUUUUCAUUUACCUCUCUCUCUGUGUCUCUCUCGCUGAUAUUCUGCUGUCCCCUCUCUCUGAAUAUUUAAAAUGGGCAAUACAAACGUUGUUUUCUACAUCUUAUGAUUUUGUAACCGACGACAACCUAUAAACUCAACCACCACCAUGCCCAGAGAGAGAGAGAGAGAGGGGAAAGGGACAAAAUCAGAGAAAAGGGCAGCGAGAAAUGGAGGAGGAGAUGAUAGACGAAAUGCGUAAUUUCCAAUCCGGAGUUUAAGCAUUAAAUACAGUGAUGCGAACAUCUCUGUGUUUGUUCACAUGCGUGUAGGGACCGUGGGGAAGUAGUGGGUUGUGGUCUUUGUUUUGGUCGAUAAUUAUGGGAAUAUAAAUUAAGAGGCUUCUCAGCCGGGAAUUUUAUAGUUUAAAAACCAGCAAUUUCUACCCAAAUAAGAAAUGAAUUACAAAGAAUUCCUUGUGGAAUUUGUUUGGUUUAAAUGGUGGAAAUCGAAUUACGUUCGUUUUAUAAUUAUUAUUGUGUGGCGGCAUGAAUUAACUUCGCAUCAUAAUAGUAAAUGACUUCCCAAUCCUAUUACGGUAGAAGUCUUCGACGGACGGACCAUCUCCUCAUUCACUUGAAAGAAAACUACUGUUCUGUAACAAAUUCGUACGAGAGGAGCAACCUACGCUACCCUACUUGAUGAUGAUAUGAUAUCAUCAUUUCACUUCCCAGCAACUCUCCUGAGUCCGAACUCCGAAGUUGAGUUGAUUUCCUUUUUCACCUACUAGCAGCAGCAUUUGGUGUCACGUCAAAGUAUUGAAUCCAUCAUGUGUCAAUUUCGCACUUCUUUACUGGAAUUCAAACAUAUAUUAUAUUCAAGUAUUAUCCUUUACACAUUUUGCAACUUUUUGUUUUAGCACUAUUCUAUUCAACGUGAAGUUAAGCUAAAUAUCCCUUUGAUUGUUUCAGUUUCUUCACGCACACGCAUAUAUAAUAUACCCCUAUUUGGCAAACAGGAUUUUUGCCAAAUUUUUUUUUCACUUGUUUUUUAAUAACUUUAAUUACAAUAGCAUCUUUAAAUUUUUUUUUUUUUUUUUUUUUUUUUUACAAAUUCUACCAUAAGUAAAUUACAGUAGUAUAUUUUCAAAAAAAAAAAAUCUAAAAAAACUCGUCUACCAACCAAAAGAAGAAGGUACUGUAAGGGCAAUGCACACACACUGAUGGAGUAGACAGUAGAGGUGGCCUUUCCAAAUCUCUAUGGGAGAAAAUGUAGUGCAACUGCACCCGAAAUUGUACUGUACAAUUGACUCCUCUCCAUGCCAUUUUUUUUCAACACUAGGAGGCAUGAACCGCGCCCUGCGCGGUGAUAAUUUAUUAUGGAUGCCCAUAAAACAUAUGUAGCAGGUAUAUAAUUUUGAAAAUAAAAAGGACAUUGACUUUAUUAGAUGUAAUAAGUUGGAAUAACAAAAGUAACAGCUAGGACAGAAGGAAUGUUUGUUGCUUAAAACUCCAAAGGCUAAAGAACUAUACAAAGAUCUAGGCUUUAGAAACGCAGAAACAAAACAAAGUUUAGUAAUUGUCCAGUGAAUGAAUCGUCUAAGUAACAAACAUGUGGUCUAUAGUCUACAUAUCACUAUUCCAAAUACUACUGCUGCCUAAGAACUCAGCCCAAGAAGAAAGGCUCUGAGCUGGCAGCAUAACAAAGCAUCCCAAAGAAAAUUUUUUAAAAAGAACAGAACCACUAAAUGCUAUUAGUAUCAAUAGCAUAUAAGCCUCAAAACUAAUACCGACGCCACUACAAGCUCAAAGAAGUUCACGAGCUGACAAGAUAGCACAAGAAAUAAGCAUCCAAAAACAACCUCUCUAAACUGGGUAGCAAGCAACAACAGCGUAUUUAGUGCAUGUCACUUUGUUGAUCACAUCGGAUGAACGCUUAAAAUAGCAUAGGAGCCUGGUCAGUUCAAUUCGACAAGCCACACGAUGGUACAACUUAAAGGUCUGCAAAAAGGUUGAAUCGAAAUAAAGUGGCAAUUCAAGAAUCCAUGUACACAAAUCAGACCAUUUAAAUUGCAUAAAAGAAAGUUCAUUAAUGACAAAUCCAAAUGACCUGGCUACAUAGUUGAACAAUCUCCAAGUUCAGGUAUCUAUGCAUGAGAAUAGAGCAACACAUAACCUCAUCGUCAGCAGCCUCAAACAUGUCAAGCGCGCUAACACCAAUCAGCUUCUUAGCUUCGACACCUAAUGCAAUAACAUUUACACACCCAGUAUCAUCAUGAAAAGUGAGCCAGAUCCAUGCUCUAUAACAAAAAUAACAUUAACCACCAAAAAAAAGGAAACCAAGGAAUACAUAGAGUUUUUAAAAACUAAUAACUAAUAACAAAUCCACGAUGCACCUAGGGAAAUCAUACAUUCCCUGACCUCAACCAAGGUAUACAAAUAGUCUUAUAUGUUGACAAGACACCCUCAAUUGAUUUUAGUUUUCUCACGUGGCACGAUACCGUUGGGGUAAAAGAUUGGAGGCACAAACAAAAGUGACACGAAAAAUCAACAUAAUUUCUUUUCACAAAAAAUCAAGAUGCAGAGGGGAAUGCAAUAUUGGCCAUACAUCUUUAACAAGAGCUCUGUGUUAUUAUAGCAAUCAAACUUCCAGAUAAGAGUUUUGGAGCCACGAAAACAGGCAAUUUCGCAUUUCAGACACAUGCAAACAUUUAAUUCUUGUUUAUCAAUGAAGGAACAUUAUUACAGUUGCAAUGUACAUUUUUUGUGUGCUAAAAUGUCUAGAAUUAAAAAGUUUCAUCCUCCAUUUGCAAAGCCUUCUAUUGCAUGAUACAGUUCCUGCCAAAAUCCAGAUGCAGCAGUGAUUUGAUACUACAAACAACUUAACUAAGAGAAACAGCUCCUUAGCAGUAUCAAGAACAACUGAACAUUUAGUAUUCAUGCCAGACUGCAGAUUUACCAAAAUGAUCUCAUAGCAUUAUACCUAAUCAAUAUUGAACAAGCUAAACGUUUAAAAAAGUUUCCUCGUCUAAUGUAGCUCAGGACAUAGAAAACAAUGCAUGCAAUAAAUCUUAUAGAAUAAUCAGUGGGUAGAAGCAACCUUUUUUGUAGACAAAUCCUUUUUUUUUUUUUGCACUGGCUUCUUCACAGUCGACCCAAACACUUCAUACUUAAUAAAAAGGAAAAUGUUUAACAAUCAAAAGCUGUCCCAUUCCAUUUCCAGUAGCAAAAAAAAUAAAAAUAAUUGUCUAGUUUAUGGAGUAAAUCUUGCACCCGAGUACGUGAACUAUUAACCCAAUACAGGAAAGGUCAACUGCACAUUAAUUAAAGUACUGCAAUUCAAAUAGAACUAACAUGAAACGGGGAUACCUCUAAUCAAAUGCAUAGGGAUCAUCUGCAUAAGGAUUCAGAGAUCCUUCUGAAAACAGAUCACCUAUAUUAGAUGAAUUUGUAUGAACUUGUCCCUUUGUUCCCUAUCAUGAAAUUCCAAUCACAAAUGUCAGCACACAUAACAUAAAAUUAUAUGUGACCGUAAUCACAAGGCAUCUUGCAGUGUACAGAGACAAACUUCAUCACAUACAGUUAAAUUUCUCCUUGUUUCUACUUUACCUUGCUCAGGUUAACCAAUUGCUCUGUUUCAUUGCAUUAAUCUAUUAGUAAUCACAACUUAAUCCUAAAUGAUAUGAAUAAGAGUAACACCAUUUCAAGGUAAGAGAAUUUUGUGACCACGAUUAUUGUCUGUCUAGUACACCCCAUUCAUCAAAAAUAGGCAAAAAUCCUACUUCUUGUUGGGUGAGACAUGACUGACACUCCACAAAAGAUCAAAAGCUAAAACAACCAGCAUGAUGACACUGAGAAGGAAAAUUUAUCCUAGUUCAUUGUUUAAUUACCUUAGUAACAGCUCUAGGUGUAACAACUUUUGGUGUCUCUAGUUUUUUAUGUCUGCCUGGGUCCUGUAGUAAUAGAGACAAUUACACAUAACCAAGAAAUAUACACAUAAAGAAUCGUUCCCCUACGACAAUGCAUACUGAUCAGAAAUCAAAAUUACAUACCGCAAACAUUACAGUACUUUUGGUUUUCCUUUUUUUGUAAUUGUUCUUCCAUUUGCUGUUUCGACUUCAUAUUCAUGAUGAGUGACAUGCUUAAGCAAGGAAAGGAGGUUAGACAAACGGGCACAAAGAGUUGGGCUGAAUUUUCUACGAACACAGAGAGCUUAUCAAUGAUAUUCAGAAGCAUGAACUUAAUUUUCCAUGUCUUUCUUGAGAUAUAGAUUAAAUUGACAAAAAAAGAAAAAAAGGGAGAGCGAGGCAUAGGAAAACUGAUACGGGUCAUGGAUUUCUCUUUCAUUGUAAAAAUAUAGACUGGCAGGCUUUCCUUUUUUUUUUAUUAGUGCUCACUUGGUCGGGUUGGUUAUAAGAAUCGGAUCUUUUCUUGGUCAGCAAGGGUGAGUUUGUCGGAAGCGUUGGAAAGGGAGGCAUCGAGGGACUGAAGCUGGGACUGAAGGUCGGCGAUGAUGGCGUCAAAACAUACGAAUUCCAGGCAAAAAAAAAAAAAGAAGAAAGAAGGAAACUUGUAGCAAGGACUGAAGCUGACUGGACAGAUUACAACGAAGGAAGAGGAAGAGAUCCAAACGAAUGGAAGAAGAUCCGGACAGCUGCAACCAACAGCGAAGAUGGCAUCUCCUUGGGCGGAAAGAAGACAGUGACCGAGCAAAAAAACAGAAAGCUGCACGUCACCGGACAAGGGAAAAAAAUAGGAAUGCCAGGGAAAAAAAAUGAACAGAGGAAACUUGAAGAGAGGAUCGGACCUCACUGGAAAGGAAAAUAAAAGACAAAGAAGAGAGCUUACAACAAAAGAGGAGGAGAGGCCAACGAACGGCACAAGAUCUGUACCGAUGCAGCCGACAGCGAAGGUGGCAGCUCCUUGGCCGGUAAGAAGGCUAUGGGCUUGGGAGAACCGAAUACCAGAGCUCAACAAAAUGUUGCAGCAGGCUCCAGAGCAUGCGGGUAAGUGGCAGAGCAACAUUGUGGGGAGAAGUAAAUGCAGUUGGAGAGAGAAGGGAGCGGGAAGAAAGCAAAUGCAGCAGACGCAUAGAAAGAAGGACGGACGGUCACAUGGGACACUGGCUGGCGAAACCAGAUGGGAAGCUGACGCGCGAUGCGCGAACAACAUGAUACUUCCAAUCCACAUGCCGGGCACGUGAGAGGACGACGAAAGUUUUGGCUGAAUGCUGGUGGGACGUUAUCUACUUAUGUUGAUAAGUAGAUAAAGAGCCGAAGGGCUGUGAUGACCUGGAAGUUUUCGUCGUCCUCUCACGUGCCGCGCAUGUGAUUGAGAGCGUUGUUUUUCUUCGCGCAUCGCGCGGCUCUUCUCCUCUGCUGGUACUCCAUGUGCCUCCUGCUGCGCAUUAAAAGCUUCUUUCUCUAUCUGGUGCUAAUACGUGAUUUUUCUUGCCGCUGCGUUUUCUGUCUGCUUCUUUUGGACAGUGCUUCUCUCUUGCUUAUCCGCCUGCUCUGCGUCCUGGUGCACGAGCCUGCUAAAAUAUCCGGUUCUCUUCAUUCCUUGUUGUUUAGGUUUCGGUGUUCCCAGGUUCGUCGUCACCCACCACUGGUACGGUCCCCGCUCGUUGGCUAGCUUAACUGACCUAGAGCUGUGGCCUUGGGGUCUUUCUUCCUUUCCGGUUAGAUGCAUACUUUGCUGUAACCUUUCUGCUUGAUCCUUCGCCUGAAACUGAUGUUUUUUCCUGUUUUCUUUGUUUCCUUUCUCGAGCCGCCAAAGGCCUGUCAAACCUCUGUCCUUCGCGUUCUCAGGGUUUCGGUUGUCUAGAUCAACCGCCGUUGGCUAAGCUACGUCUCCUCUCCGUCUCCGUCUUCAGGGCAUUCACUCAGGUCAGAAAUGAAAUGGAAUUGGGCAUCUCCCUCUCCGACACCCAGUAUCACAAGUGCCUCAUCUCCCGGAGGUUCUUCAGACCGAGAAUAACCUCGCAACCGGAGGUAUAUUUUCUUCAACUUUCUUCCUUCUCUCAAUAUCUCAAUCUCUCUCUCUCUCUCUCGCUCUUUUUUCUUUUGUUUCAAUUAAUCUGAAUUUCUAUCUACAUUCAACGGAGUAAUAGUGUAUCGUCCUUAAUUGGUGCACAACAUUAGGAAAUCUUGUUCUCUUUUGUUGUUUCCCCUCUUUAAUAAUCGAACCACUUCAAGAAAAAAACCGACCUUGGGAAUUAUUUUGCCCUAAUACCCAUUGUGGGUUUCGUAAAUUUUGGUAAUUUAUUAUAUUUAGCUAUAAGAGAAUUGGGGGUUUUGGUAUAAUUUGUGUAAAAUUCCACAAUUUUUCGGCUAGCAGUUUGGGCUUUAGAAUUGCUGGUUUUGUCUGAAUUUUUUAUCUCUUCUAUAUUUAAUGGAUAUCUGAGGAUCAUUUAGUAUCUGAAACUAAUAAAUCUGCCAACGCUUACAGUCAUGAGUGUAGAGUUAACUAAAUAUGUUAACCUCUUUAUGAAUAACUUUUUAAGGACUUUUAUGCUAAUUCUUCGCAUUCAAAAAGGAGAGAAAUGGAAGAAACAUUAAUUUUCUGGUAUUAGAGACACCUGCGGGAAAGAAGAUGGUAGCAAGUUACUGACCCCAGGUAGUAUGAGAUGAGAUUGUAUUGUAAUUGAGCAGGGUUCACUUAUCAUAAUAGAUUGAAUUUUGUAGUUCUGAACUGAUACAUUGUUCUUUUGAUUGACUGAGUGGCAAUUUGGGAGCCAUGCAGUUUGUUUUUCUUGUUUUUAUUUUCUUAUAAUCCAAACUUGAAAAGGAUUUGUUUUUUCUCUUCCGAGUGAUUGUUUGGUUUUCCAAAGAUUUAAAUUUUCCAGAGAUUGAUUGUUUGGUUUUCCGAAGGUCAAUCUCUUUAACCCAAGAAAAUAAUAAUAUUAAACUGAAAAACAACAAAAAUGUUGUCUUGGGAAACUAUUGUUUAUUUACAUGUCUUGGAAGUUGAAAUUGCCAGAAACAAGAAGCUCACUUUCUCUGAUGGUCAUAUUUCUUCAUCAGGUUGACCAUUGCCAAAUAGAAGAGCUUAGCCACAAGACAUCUCAUAGCAAUAGCACGUCUUAUUGUUGAAAAUUUUGAUUUUAUGGUAGUGUUUGUAGGUUGAGUUAUGACCCAUGAUUUAUGCUCAGGCCCUUAAAAUGGAGAUAUAUAGUGAAGAAAAGUAUAAAAGAUCGGGGUGGCUUCAACAUUUACCUUCAACUAAUUUUCCUUGUGUUUUUCCUUUUUGAAUUCAGCUUUGUGGAAAUUAUGGCUCCUGUUUUCUCGCGGGAUGCUUGGCGAUGUGUUUGGCAUACGAUUCAGGUUCCCUUCUCUAACUUUGUCUUUUGUAUACGUAUGUUUUAAGCCUUGUUGUACCUCCAACUAUUUUUGCUUUUAGCUGCUCUCAUUAGCCUUGGUUCUUUCCAGCUUAGAGCUCACACUGAUUUUUUACUUUCAAUAACAUUCCUAGAAUGAUUUGGUGCAUGGUUGGGGAUUGGAUUUUGCGCUAAGGAGAUGUGUGGAGGUCAGUGGUUUUAUUUGUUUCUUAUCACAAUAUUAUUUGAAAGAUUUAGAAAAGAAGGCUUGUCUACCUGCUUUUCAUAUUCCUGUUGGAAGGAGAGAUCUGCGGGCAGUGGCAUGUAAAACAGAUAAAAUUAGAAAACAUGUAUUUAUUUCAAAUGGAUGUCUGCGUAUUAUCAGUUUCAUUGUAAGUGUAUUUUGCCUGUGUAGCCUGCACAUGAGAAAAUUGAUGUGGUUGACUCUCAGUGGAUAGUUCAUCAAGUUAUUCCUUCUCUGGGAAGUCAGGUCAGUUAACUACUUUAUUACAACCAUCGGGACUUGCUUUUCCUUUUCCUAGAGGUGAUUAAAAUAAUGAAGUUUAGUUGUUUGCAAAUGUUGUUCUGUUCAACUUUAAUUUCCAUUUUUGAGCAAAUGGUUCUUCAUUUAUAAUAUAAGCAACUUUUUAGCAGCAACCCCCUUAUUUACAUUUUUUUCUUCCACGUCAAUUAUCCUACUUGUCCCUUGAUCUGGUUUCCCCUCAUUUAGAUUUGUUUUGUUGAUAAUGAUGCUAACAGCUUCAGCUUCGUUGAUUCUAGGGUCAAUCUGAAAAUGGAAAAGCUCCUUGGCAAGGGGUAUGUAAGCUGUUACUUGUUCGGUUUCCAUUUCAACCUUUCUGUAUAUUUUUUUACUGAGGCCUUUUCUUUGUCCUUCAUUUUUUUUGCAAAAGUCAACUCUGAAAGCUUCUUCAUCCAAUUUUAUGGUAAUCUGAGUUAUUCUAUAUCACCUACAUUCUAACAAUCAUGUUUAAAUUAGGAUUCAUAGGUCUUAUAUCUGCACUCUGUUUGAAUUGCAUGAUUUUGCAUUGAACUGAAUUUCAUUAGAUUUGUCCAAACGUCAAGUAACUAGCUUGAAUUCUUUUCUAUCUAAUUUGGUAGGUAAGAGAGAGAUGCAGAAGUGAGUGGGCGCAGUUUCAAGAUCGCCUAGCCAAUGCAGAUAAGAAAUAUAUUGAACAGCUUGGGAGUACUUACCUACUUUCUGUUUAAUAUUCCACUAUUAAGUUGCGAAUUUGGAGACAGAAUUUCUGUUAUAUGCCAAAUUUCUAAUAUUCUGGGUAUCUCUUUUGCAGGAACGAGGUAUUUGAACAACAGAAAGUUUUGUAUCCUUUUAAGUUUUCUUGCAUUUGGGUAUUGAUACUAUUCACCUUUAUUGCUCUGACUCCUACUUCUUUGCACAAGUUCCCUUUGACCUGCAAUGCUUCUUUACUUUUUUUUCUCUUAACUUCUUGUAGCUCUGAUUGGAAAAGAAAUAUAGAGACAUUGGAGAAAAAUAGUGUAACCAGUCUGAGGACAUUGAUCAAUCUUGGUUCUGAAGUGUACAUGCAAGCUGAUGUGUAUGUCUCUUCAUACCAUAUCAAUGUCAUUUUACUUGGUUGUUCAUAGGAUUAGUAUACAUUUGAAGCGUUUAUCAAGAUAUGAAAGAAUUCAUUUCUCUUUUGUUUGAGGUGUGUGUGAUUUAUUAUAACUCUAUAUGUUUGUGUCUGCCUAUGCACUGAAAAAAAAAAAGAAAGUAUAUGGUACCUUAGUUGUUCCAAGUAUGUCUUCAGCUAUGGUGAACAAAGUGUUGUAGGUUCUUUGGGCUACGAGCUUGGGUUUUGGUAGUCUCAGUACCAGAUGGAAUCAUGUCAGAUUGAUAUAGGGUGCAAGAGAAGUGUUCUUUACUUGAUGUGAUGGUGCUUACUGUAAACAAAUAUGAGAGAUAAUUGCAGAAACAAGGCAAAAACAAUCAAUUAUGGGGACAGUUCAAAACUUUAACAGCUUACGAAUAAGCGAUCGAACCUGAAUUUAUCUUUCCUGAUUUCCAAUUUUCAACUCUAGAUAUUCCCCAGGCAAUCACGACCUUCAAGCUUCUCUUCAUAACUAUGCGUCUUUAGGAAACAUCUGUUUUUUUGAACUUGAUAAGUGGAGCCGAUCCAUGUAUUCUUAAGGUAGCUAUGUCAAUGAUUGAGUUGGAAUAGAACAAACAAAAGAGAAUGAUUUAUAAUGUCAAUGUAUCCAUGAAUGAUUUAUAAGCCUAUGUGCUUGAUUUAUCAACUCUAGAUAUAUUGAGUGAUUGAGUUGGAUCUAUUACAAUUAUCUAUUGAUUGAAUACCUUGACCUUUUUGCCAAAAUCUGUCUCAAAACUGAUUUUGAUUUGUAGCUAUGGUACAUUUGCUACUUGAGGUUGUGAUGGUUAUGUUGAUGUGUGGGAUGGAAACAAUAAAAAAAAGGCUGUAUCAGUUAUUUUUCCUUAACUGAAUUUGAAAUGGCUUCCGCUCCAUGACGACAUUUGUCAGUUUUUUAUCAUACUUGUUAUAUUUGUCAAAACAAGGGUUCUUUUUUUUUUUUUGUUUUUUGCCUUUGAAUUUGAGAUUAUGAUUUCUUCGUUAUACUAACUUAUUCUAUUGUUCGUGGAAAUUUAUUAUUUUGGCUCAUUUUUCUGAAAGUGAUCAAUUGGAAUGCUAAAGCAAGAUGAAUUGUAUUAGAGAUUUCUUUUUGUUUCAGACUUUGACAAAUGCUGUUUUAUAUCCUGUAAAUGAUGUUCUUCUGUGUUUGGUUCUUUCUGCGAGAUGUUACUUUUGCUUCGGUGCAUUGUGUAUAAAGGCAUCUUCAUAAGUUACUUGUGUGAGUGCUGUUUUGAAUGAUUACACUUAUUCUUCUUGAAUGAUUUUGAAUGCUUUUGACUGAAUAAAUAGUGUAUGCAGACUAGGAAUUCAUUGGUUAUUUAUGCCUAUGCAUUUUAUGAUUAUGCUUCUGAUUUUUUGCUGCAGAAUGCUGAACUGACUGCUCAUGUGGCUAAGCAGUAAAGAGGAAGGAAUCUGCUGUCCUAUGUUAGGCAUUGUCGUUUGAUUAUGAGUGCAGUUUCAUUGGAUGUUUUUUAGUUAAUGUGUAUUAUGUAGUUAUAGUUGUUAGAGGACUCAAGCACAGAAAUUCUGUAAUAGCUAGGUUGUUGCCAUUUCAGUUUGUUGCCAUUCUGUAACAGCUAGGUAUGUAUUGAUCAUAUAAUUUCUGAAGCAUUCUUGAUGGGAGAGAAAGACUUUGGGGUAAAGAAUCAAGAAAUCAUAUAGAGAACAAAGUUGAAAUUAAUGUAAGACGAGACCAUACAGCUUUCCUAAGAUUGAUUCUUUAUUUGGUUCAUUAUUUCUGAAAUAAGUUCAAUUCUUUGGCCACCUUUUUUUUGCACAUUACUUUUUCAUUUUUUUGUGUUCAUCCUAGAUUAGAUUAAUAGUUUAAAUAUACUUUCGACAGUAAUUAAUUUAUAAUCAGUUCCACAAUUUAGGUCUUGGUUUUCUUUUUAUGACGUUUGUAUAAUAACCUAUAAAAAUGUUGGGUAUAUCAUAAUUGUUAGUGUCUAAAACAAAAUGACUUCUUAUACACGCAACAAUUAAUGUCAUUCUUAUAUACAAAACAAGUAAUGUCAUUUUUAGUGUGAAGUGUCUUAUUGAAUUUCACUUUUGUGUAUUUCAAGCAUCUCUGGCCUCCAAAGACGAAAAUUCGCUGAGAAGAUGAGCAACAACCAUGAUGAAAGGAUUAUUUUACUACCAUUACUUCCUUACAAGGACUAAGGACAAUUCAUGAGGUCCUAGAAUCCGGUAUUUAUUACUACCACUAUAUAUAUAUUUUUUGCUUAGACGGUAUUUAUUAUGGCUGAUAUGGUUUCUUUUGUUACUUUAUAAACAGAUCAUGAAAUCUCAGAAUCAGUUCUCCAUCGUAUUGUCUCAUCUAUGAAUCCAUUCCUAAAACAUGACUGGACUACAUUCAAUUGCUUCUAUCAAUUUUAUCUAUCAAAGCUGGUAUAGUUUUGCAUUCUCUAACCUUAUUAACUCUCUUUCUUUUGUACAUAUGUGUAUUUACUUAUCACAAUUUUUUUUCAUACAUUUAUAGGAUCUGCCAGAAUUUGCGAAUCUAAGGCUAAAUGAAGAUAGUACGCUGACUAUAACUCUUAUGAAUGGUCAUAAAUAUUAUCAUGUUGGUAUGACCGAUAGAUGUUUUGAUCAAAACUGAAACCGUUUUUUUAUUGAUCAUGAUCUAAACAAUGGCCAGAUAUUGCUUUUUAUUCCACAAUCCAAGACUCCCUUUGCUGUGCUGGUGUUUGACCGCAAAGGAAUAGAGAAGUUGUUUCCAUGGCAGUUUGCAUUUUCCAUUUGAUGGCACAUCUGAUUUACGCUGAUUCUGCUUCAACGCAAUGCACGGCAUUUGUUGUAUUUAUGUUCUUAAUGGAAAAAAGUUCUGGUUAGAAAAAUGCUUCCAAAGCACUGCAAAUUUAAUGUUUAGCAAGUUCCUACUGUUGUUUAACGAUUGAAGCUUUCAUAAUGGAUGUUCCAACGGCAUUACUUAUUAAACUUUGAUGUUUAGCAAUAAAGUUGAUCCUACCUUUGGUUACAAAAAACAAAUGGCUGGUAUAUAUUAAAUUUAGAAAAAUGCUCCAUUAAAUUUGCAUUAACAAAACUUCAGAGUUUGGAAGUUCCUAUUAAAAAUUUAGAAAUUUAAAUUUGCAUUUCAGACUUUGGAAGUUUAGCAAAGUUUAGCAAAUUUAGAAAUUCAGGCUUUGGAAGUUCCAAAGCACUUCCAUUAAAUUUAGAAAUUUAGCAACUUCCAUGAAAGUUCGUAGCCAAGAAAUAUCAACAAACCUUCAGACUCAUGGUAUAUAUAUACUAAAAAAUGUACAUUUCUAAAUAAAAUGUUAUUUUUAUUACUUCAGAAAUGGAAUGGGCAUUUUACAUUACUAUCGCGCGAAGCGCGUUAUUGCCUCCUAGUUCACAAAGAAUUGGACAAAAUUGAAAGUGUGCCAUAUAAAAAUAUGGGAUAAUUUCACAAACCUCCCCUGAGGUUUCUGACGCUUGCACUGAGACCCCUCCAGGUUUUAAAUAUUUCAGCUAGCUCCCCUGGCAGAGUAUUGGGGUCCAUUGCUGACAUGAAUAGUGCUGAAAUUACCAAAUUAUCCUUAGAGGUUGGUUAGAUGACUAACGGUAACUUGGAUGACAAAUGCAUCUUGACAUUGGUAAUUACAUCUUCAAAUGUCCAGCCAUCUUUAGUCUGGCAUUCGGAUCAAAGUUGUUGUGUCGUCCUUUAUUUUAUGAUUUUUAUCCAAUCCAAAUCUCUCACCCAGCAGCACAAAGCAAAAUUUGAUGGGUUGAGUCGUGCAAAGCUUUGAUGAUUGACUUUGAUUUUUCUUUUUUCAGCUAAUUUAUUUGCAUCAUUGAAGCAGGGGAUUUUUAUUAACGCUACCAAGUUGGCACUACAUUCUUGACCCAAUAUAUAAGGUCAGAAGCAAAGCCGAAUUUGAUAGAUAAAUACUAUUUUGGAAGAAUUACAAUUUUGGCUCCGAAUAUUUGGAACGUGAACGCUUUUAGUUACUAAAUUUUGGAUGAAAAUAAAUAUAGUUCCAAAUAUUUUAGUUUCAUGCAUAUUUAGUUCUAAUAAACUGAUUUUUAUCGAAUGCUACUGUCAAAAUCGAGUCAUGUGCCAGCAAUUAAUUAUUUUUAAAAAUUUAAAAAAAAAUACUUCUAGCCAGUAACUAUAAUAAAUUAUGACUAAUUUCUCAUAUGAUGGUCAUGUGAAUAAUUUUUAAGUUUUUACUACAAAUUUUGGCCAGCAAUUUUUUUUCAAGUUUUUUAAUUCCUUUUAAAAUAAAAAUUAUUUGUUGAUACUUUAUAGCACGUCACCGUCACCGAAUCCUUGUAGCAAUCCGUAAGAGUCAUUGCACAAAUUCACAAUGAGGAUUGUAGCAAUCCGUAAGAGCUGUUGCACAAAUUCACCGUAAGAGUCCUUGUAGCAAUCCUUUAGAGUCAUUGCACAAAUUAUUUGUCGAUGGUGGAUCAAGGGGCCAUGCAUAAGAUCUGAUAAAUGUUUUCACUAUAGCCUUCUGUUAAUGCUCCUGCAAAACAAUGAGGAUAUACUCUUCCUCCUCACAAUCUUUUGGCUUGAGGAUAUACUUUGCACUUCUGAUGUUUAUAUGCAGUUGGAGGUAUACAAAAUCUGGCCAUUAGAAGAUUGCAAGUUGCCGUUGGCUCUUCCUGUUAACAUACUGAAGAUGUCUCCAUGUACUGCAUCAAAAUUUCUGAAUUGCAUUUAUAUCCUCUCAACUUUGAUAAUCAUCUCAAUCUUUUUAAUAACUUGCAAUCUUGUACUAAUAUAAAGAGGAAGAGGGUAUUCAUGGAAUAAAAAUGUCAUCUCUAUCAUGAUAGUAAUAUUUUAAUCCUAAUUGGACUGAAUUGUUACCAAAAUUUGAAAAGCAAGGGAGCUAGGUGAAAUUUUUAAAACCUAGAGGGGUCUCAGUGUAAGUGUCAGAAAUCUCAGGGGAGGUUUGUGAAAUUAUCCCUAAAAAUAUUGUCAAAUGAAUGCUCCAAAUCAACCCAAUCGCUUGCGGCAAAUCCAGACCAUGAACUGUUGUCUUGCCAGGUGUGAAUGUAGCAGUAGACCCCACCUCUCAUUUCUUCCCGCGCGACUGGUGCCACCGCUGUCAAUUUUUUUUUUCUCUGAGACGCGAUAAUUAUAGAGUGUAUCCUAAUCUAUUCUAAAUUAGGUAGAGGGAUGGACCUGAAGAGAUAAGAAGCAAUCAAAGGAAAUUAAACCAUCACCAAAUCAAAUUGAUAUAUUGUAUGAAUUUUUUGAAACAAAUUUAUAUUAACCUCCUAUCCCAUCAACAGUUAAAGGCUUGAUGGUGGCCACCAAUGCUGCCAUCAUUUGUCUUGUUAUUGGGGCCUAUACAUACGGAAUAUAGGGAUAUUUUCCAAAAUCUCCUCUAAGAUUUUGUUUAAUAUUACUUGAUUCUAAAAUCAUAUCUUUAUAACAAACUCAUCCCUACACCAUGAAAAUAUUCUUAAAAUAAUUAUUUAAAAAGAGAGAUACAGAGUGAGAUUUAUUUUUGUUCCAAUUUUAUCCCUUUAUGUUGUCUUAUCUUGAAAUUUUAACCAAAUUAAUUUCUAACAUAUAUUUGCAUGGGAGAACUAAACAAGAUUAGAAUAGAGUGUUAAGUGCUACAAUAAAUGAUAGAAUAGUAUUUUCUUUCUAUUUUUGGCUUUUUCUUUUUUUUCCCUUAUAUAAUUGUUAGAAUAACCAAAGAAACUUUAAUUAAAAACUAGCAUGUGAAAACUAAAAAUGUGGCAAGAAGAGAUGUUUGCAUACAACAAUUAUUAGAUUACACUUUUUUUUUAUAAAUUUAGAUUUAUUAUCUUCCUUUUUUUGCAUAUAUGAUGGUUAGCAUAAUUAGGAUAAUUUGAUAUAAGGUUGACAUAGAAAGACCAAAAGUCAAGGGAGGGGGUAUGUUUAGGGAAAAAUAAUAAUUAGAAUCACCAAAAUCUUAUAGAUUUUAUUUUUUUUUCCGAACUCUUUUUUGCAUAAAGUUUUUUAAAAAAAAAAAAUAGUGAGAGCAAAUAUAGAAUUGGCAUAAAAAGACAAAAGUAGGGGAGAUGUUAAGCAUUUUCACUUCCCAACUUUUUUCCCGUAACAUAGUAAGGGUGAUUUAAUAUAAAAUUCAUAUAGAGGGUAUCGAAAUUUGGAAGAAUAAGGGUGAUUAAAUUCAAAUAUAAUUAUUCGAGUAGUUGUUGUCUUGAUAGACUUAAUUUUUUUGUUACAUAUGCUAUUUGCUUAAAUAGUUAUUAUACUAUCAAAGACAAUUUAAUAAUUGGUUGACAUAAAAAGAUUAAAUAACUAAAAUUCUUUAAGUGCAAAAAUGAAAAAUGGUUAAAAUAGCCAUUGCAAUUUGGUUUUCUCUUUCGUAUUUGUUUGCCUAAAGAAUGAUUAAACUAGUAAGAAUAAUUUUGUCAAUUUAUAUGCAGUUAGGAUGAUUAGAAGUCUCAUUUACCAACAAGGGAGGUAAAUGAUAUUUCUGAAACUUUAAGGAUACUAAAGUGAAAUUAGGUAAAACCUCAAGGGAGGUCUCUGAAAUUAUUCCAAUUUUCAAAAGUCGUUCUAUCUUUUCUACCCAACUCUUCCAUCCUUUGGUUACAAUUUCAAACCCUGCCUGACAACUUCUCCUAGCCGGCAUUUCCACAACCCCCUCCUGCAACUUUUUCCCAAGUAAACGAGGAGUGUAUGAUGAAUUUGACAAAAGAUCUAUUCUCACUUUACAGUGAAAGCAAAGUCAUCUUUGAUGGGCAGGCUUCCCAAAUCCCCUCUUCGCAACUCAAGCUCCAGUUCCAAGACAUCUUAUUCAACCCCAAGUACCCCAUUGGUGCGGAUCAAUUCUUGAAGAGUUCGAACAAUUCAGUUUCUCCAUCAGCUUCCAUAACAGACAGCUCCUGCAUGACAUUGCAUUACGAAGACUAUAAGGGCCAUCACAAGGUCUUCAGUGAAGAAGAUAUAAAGACUCUUAGGCGCAUUUCAGAAAUAUUGACCUCCAGAAACGAAUUGGCGGAUUGUGUUCAGAUGUAUGUCGAGCGUCGAAAGGACGCGGUCAACACGGUAUUUAUGAGACUGCGUGAGAAAUUGAAUGUACAAACCGUCUGUCAUUUUAAUUGCUUGGAUGAGUUGAGUGACAAAAUCAAUGGAUGGAUGCAAAUAGCCAAGUUUUGCAUAGCCACCAUUUUUAAAUUAGAAAAGUGUUUUUAUGAGCAAAUAUUUGGAGACCUGGGAACAUCUGAGGACACUGCUGCUAACGGCCGUUUUGUGUCCAUAGUAGUAGGAGCUGCGGCCGAGUUGUUUGAGUUUCCAGACUCUCUAUUAGCCAGCCGCCGAUUGCCCCAGAGACCAGACAUUUUGAUGCCCUUUUGUCAAGAACUCACCAAUCUAGUUCCACAAGUGAUUGUAUAUUUUGACCAAGAUGUACAACCGGCGAAAGCUAUCUGCGGCCUUGCCACUGAGAUUUUGCUCCGACUGAAACAGCAAAUGACAAAGAUCCUUUCUGUUACAGAGAAACAUGUUCUUCGUGAGCUUUCGACGAUGCCAUUUCCUGGGGGAGGAAUUCACCCCUUAACUAGACACAUAAUUCGUCACAUUGACCUGAUUUAUGUUCACAGGAAAUCCUUAAUUGACUUGGUGGCUAGACCCCAAAGCUCCAAUGAUCGAGAUCCUCCUGAAGUAGUGGGUUCACAUGAAAUGGAUGAAAGGCCAAUUUCCAUAGAGAGCCAUCUAACUCGAGUCAUCGAGUUUUUACUGUAUAACUUGAAAUUCAAGUCCAACUUCUAUGGACAAGAAUCUCUGGGUUUUUUGUUCAUGAUGAACAAUGUUAACUCUGUUUCUGAGAUGAUUAAAAGUUCCGAGGAGUUGGGAGAACUUAUUGGCACUCGCCUGCGGAUGAAAUUAAGUGAAAAAGUGGAGCUGGCAAGGGCUGAUUAUCUCCAUACAAGUUGGGGCGAAGUCUGCGAUUUUUUGAAAGGUAAAGGAUUAAAAUCAGAUUUAAAUUUUGAUUUCUUUCCUGGAAGGUCUACGAGAGCUGUGAAAAAGAAGUUUAGGACCUUCAAUCGUAUGUUUGAAGAUAUACUUCAGACUCAAGAAGGAUGGAUGGUACCAGAUCAGCAGCUGCGGAUGAAACUUCUUGAAUGCAUAAUGGUUAAGCUGAUUCCGGCCUACAAUCAAUUUCUUGAGCAGUUGAGCCGAGUUCACAAAGUGAAGAAUCUGAAUGGGUACAUAACAUAUUCUGUCAAGGACUUGGAGACCAAGGUGCUAACUAUGUUUCAGAGUGAGUAUUGAAGACUGAAGAGUUGGUUAUUUAUCCUUCAAUUCUAUUAGAUGUCAAUUUGAACAGGUUAUACGCACUAGCUGUUGCAAUGUAACUCUCUCCAAAUGAAAAUUACUUUCUCCAAAUGAAAAUUUGGAGAAUCCUUAAAUCGUGUGUACUGUGUAAGAAUGAGGAUCCGCUAUAUGUCUUUGUAGUAACAGAAGUCGCAAGGAAAGUUGAGGAUACGAAGAUGGUGCAGGCAUUAGAGGAAAGUGUAGGGGAAGAAAUGAAAAGAAAAGAAAAGAAAAGAAAAGAAAAGAGCGGAAGCAAAGAUAAAUCAGAUAAAAAGAAACAAAACAAACAAAAGAGCUUGAAAGUAAUGAUAUGAAGUUUAAGUAUCCUUGAAGUUAUUAAUGUGUAUAUUGAAGAAAAAUGAGUAGCUAGAUUACAUGAAAGUGAAGGAGAGAGUUUGUCAGGUGAUUCAAUACCCUACUCCUUUGAGUGAAGUACAGGAAACGCCUUUGAGUUAGGAAUUUGAAGGCGCUGCUUCUGUGUCACAUCUACUUCACGCGUUUGAGCGAGGCAUCUACUCAUAGCCGGAAUCUAAAGGCAAAGCUUCCCUGAGCUUAAAAGUCAUGCCCAUACCAGGAUGCUCCUGUAUUUCUUAAGGUUCAGCAGUUUGCGUGCAUAAAGAUUAGCGUUAGUCACAGUUUUCCUGGGGGUAAUCACGCUUUCCGUUGCUCUACUCCAUUGUCUUCUUACUUUGCUUUGCUCUAUUCCAUCGUCUUCAUUUCGUGUGGCCAAAAUGCCCUACCAGCAUACCUUUUGGCAAGUACGUUUUACGCUUUUAAUGUUUAUGACGGUACGUAUUGUUACUUCGAAGAUGCCUUAUUGGAACAGGUGCUAUCUUGGCAUCGUCUCCCUGUGCUCUUAUAAUCACCUAAACAAAAUACAAAAUACGACUAAAAGAAUUAAGUGACAAAGAUAAAGAAACUUUACAAUCGCCUCCUAUUUUUCCUCUUCUUCACAUAUAAAGUUAAUCCUAGAUCCAUACUAAUCGAUUUGGAAUCCAGUGUUAUGUUUAACUUAGUAUAGCAUUAUUGUUGAAUUUAAAUCUAUUUUUCAAAUACAAUGCUACAUUAACAAACUUCCAAAAAAAAAAAAUUCAAAUACAAAGCUGCGUCAAUGAACUUCAAAAAAAAAUUAUUUUUCAAAUAUAAUGCUACAUUAACACACUCUAAAAAUUCAACGCUACAUUAAUACACUCCAAAAAAAAUCCUACUUUCUAGAUGUAAUGCUAUAUUUACACAAUCUAAAAAAGGUAUCUCAAUAAUACUUCAAAUACAAUUUCAAUACACUUGACAAAAACACACAAGAAAUAAAAAAUAAAAUAAAUUCUAUCACCUCUUUUUUUCUCCACCCACCACCCAUCUCCUCCUCUUUCCUCCACCCCCGUUAUUGUCCCUUGCUCCUCCCUCUUCCCUUCUCGUUUUUCUCUAUUUUUUCCUUCUUCUUUCUCUAUUUCUUCCUCUACCUCCCUGCUUUUUCCUCCCUCUUCCUUUUCCUCUAGGACCUUCCUUCUCCUUUUUCUGCCUUAUUCCUUUUCCCUUUCCUUAUCAUUCCAUCCUUUUCCUUCUCCUACAACCUCCUUCCCUUUCCCCCUCUCCUCCUCUCACUUAAGGGUCUACGAGAAAAGGAGGAAGGGGGGAGGAGAAUUGGGGGAAAGGGAGGAGCGAAGAGAAGAGGGGAUGAAGAAAGGGGAGAGGGGUUGCAGGAGAAAGGGGAAGGGAUGGGAUGAGCGCUGCCAGUGAAGGAAGUAGGAGAGAAAGAAGGGAAGGUAGAGAAAUGAGAUGAAGAGAGGGAGUUAAAAAAGAAGGUGGAAGGGAUGGGAAGAGGGCUACGGAGAAGUAAAAAGGAGAGAGAGAAGGGAAGGAGAAGGAAUGAGAUGAAGGGAGAGGGAUAAAAAAGAAUGGGGAAGAGAGGGAAGGGAAGAAGGGAAGAGGGGUGAGAAGGAAGAGUGAAGAGGAGAAAGUAGGAGGAUGAAGGGAGAAGAGAGGAGUGAUGGUGCUGAUAGAGGAGAGUAGAGGAAGGAAUGGUUUUGGUAUCGAAAAUCAACGGACUUUUAAAAAUAUCCUAAUAGAAUUUUAAAUUUUAAAAACAUUCAAAAAUAUAUCUACGGAUACAAUGAUACAGUGUAAUUUGUGAAAAACAUCUAAAAAAACACUUCAUCCAUUCAAACUAUUUUUUCUUUAUUCCCAGGCCCAAGGAUAAGGUAAUGGCAACCCUACAAGUAGAAAAUUUAUUUUAGCAUGCAAUAAGUUCGUGGCAUGUCUAAUAGUUAGCCAGUCGUCGGGUUAGAUUUCUUUUUUUUUUUUAAUGAAAAUACUCCAAACAAGACCGUGAAAACUUAUUUAGAGUUAUCUUGACUGUCUAGUAAACAUACAUACUGAAGAAGCACGGAACUUCCCCGGAACGAGCUGACCUGAUCAGCUCGGGGUGCUGAUGGAAGAGCUGGCUCCAAGCCUGCAAAACAGAUAAGAGUGAGCUAACAAAGGGGGUCCGAGAGUUGUCCCCGAGAGCGCUCCGACGAUCAAGUUAGUUUUCCGGCGGGAUGAGUUCACGGGAAAUAUAGACGGCCGGUAGCAAUUUGCCAAUAGUGAGCGUACCUUGUACAGUUGAUGUGUUCUAUCAUUUAUACCUGUGCGGAAGUCCGACCUCCGUACGUUUCGGGACCUGCCCAGCAUAGCCCCUAUCCCGCACUCAGGGGGAUUGUCCCCGACCUCUUCGGGAAGGAUGUUCGCCCCCUCCAGGAGCCCUAGCAGCACGGCCCAGGACGGCUGCCAGGGGCCUGGGGCCAAAGCCCAGCUCGGCCGCACCUGGGCUGCCACGUGUCCAGGCCCAGGACGGGGCCUUGCAAUAGCCCCUAGAUUAAGUAAGACUUCCAGGCAGACCUAAUCUAUACUCUGCCACGUAGGAGACCAGCGUCGCGCACUACUCUGCCCCGGUCACCUCUGGUACAGUGCUGUCACUGAGAAAACCGCGCCGAUCUCCUGGGUCGAGCGUCAAACUCCCAAGUUUCGACAAACUUGAUCAAUGCGUGCCGACCUCAUGGGACCGAGCAUCAAAUUGCCACUGACAUGGUUUAAGCCCCCGACUUUUAAAGAUUUGAGCCUUGCCGACCUCCUGGGUCAAACAAACUCAUUCAAGUUAAGGCACAACGUGCCGACCUCUUGGGGUCGAACAUCGCACUUUCCGACUUCAAAAUUUUAAGCCGUGCCGAUCUCUUGUGGCCGAGCAUCAUACUUUGAAGGCAGUCACGCCGACCUCCCGGGUCGAGCGUCGAACUCUGAUUUUAGCGGGUAUGCCAACCUCUUGGGGUCGAGCAUCACAUUUCCAAGGCAGUUAUGCCGACCUCCUGGGUCGAGCGUUGAACUCCCUGAUUUUGGCAGACGUGCCGACCUCUUGGGGUCGAGCAUCACAUUUUUCAGGCAGUCAUGCCGACCUCCUGGAUCGAGCAUUAUAUUCUCAGGCAAUCGUGCCGACCUCCUGGGCCGAGCCAGCAUGCUCCCUGGUUUUGACAAGCUGCCUCAAAGUAAGUCACGGCGUGCCGACCUCUUGGGGUCGAGCAUCACACCUUCAAGACGGUCAUGCCGAUCUCUUGGGUUGAGCGUCAAGCCCCCCGUCUUUAACAGGCGUGCCGACCUCUUAGGGUCGAGCAUCGCACUCUCAAAUUUCGCAAUUUCAAGCCGUGUGCGGACCUCAUGGGGGGUUUUUCCGUCCUCUCCGCUCUCCGAGCCCCCGAUCUGACUCUUUCUUCAGACGGGCUGCCUCCUCUACGUUGACAGCCGCGUGCGCCCUUGUCAGGAGCUGCUCCAAAUUUUUGGGAGGCUGCUCGGCCAAAUCAUAGAAGAGUUCCUCUACCCUGAUCCCGUUCAUGAAGGCGGCCAUUACCACUUUUUCGUUUUUGUCCCUGACCUACAAGCUCUCCGCGUUGAAACGGGUCAUGAAAUUCCUCAGCGACUCGUCGGGCCUUUGCCUGAUGGACAUCAGGUGGGUCGCGUUUUUCGCGUAGGUCUUCGAGGAGACGAACUGGGCUGCGAACUGUCGAGCCAGCUCGGGAAAAUUCCGUAUAGACCCCGGCGCCAAUCCUUGGAACCAGAGCCGUGCUUUCCCCUUCAGGAACAUAGGGAAAGUUUUGCAGCGAACUUCGUCCGCGGCAGUUUGCAGACGCAUGUGCGUCAGGAAAAUCGAGAGGUGGUCUUCCGGGUCUGUAGAGGCAUCGUACAUCUCGAUGUUCGGAAUCUUGAACCUCCGGGGUAGUGGGUAGUCCUCUAUCUGUCGGGUAAAGGGCGAAGUAGCGUAGUCGUCCUCUUACAAACGCGGCCGCAGGAUCUGUUCGAGCUCGUCUUGAACGGGUUUCCGCUGAGGGGGGUCCCGUGGUCGGCUCUUGACAGACCGGGCGGAAGAGCGGUCAAGCCCAUUCCGCACAGGCUUCCUCGGGGAGGGGUUCCUCAACCGGCUCCCCGCGGACCUGUCACGGGAGUACCUUUCACUGUCCCCGACCACCGAGGGUCGCGGACGAGGUGGAAUUCGCGGCCGUUUCCUCCUGGGGGGCUGAUCCCAUGACUCAUCCUCCGAAGGGUCAGGGGGCAACUCCUUCUCUUUCCCCUUAGCCUUGGAAGUCUGCGCGCUUCCAGCCCCCUCUUUCUCCUUCGUUUGCUGGAUUAGGUCCUCCAGCAUCGGGAGGUUCUCCGUCACGAACUGGAGGAUCUGCUGUCUUCGCUCCCCUGAGAGGGCCGAGCCCCCCGCGCCCCCGGCCGCCUCGGUCUCCGCUCGCCGGGAUCCCUCGCCGGCUCUCGGGCCGGUGCUCUCAACGGUUCGCUUGGAUCGUGCUCUUGCCAUCAACACAACAAUAAUUACCUUGCGUUUCCCACAGACGGCGCCAACUGAAGAAGCACAGAACUUCCUCGGGACGAGCUGACCUGAUCAGCUCUGGGUGCUGAUGGAAGAGCUGACUCCAAGCCUGCAAAACAGAUAAGAGUGAGCUAACAAAGGGGGGCCCGAGGGUUGUCCCCGAGAGCGCUCCGACGAUCAAGUUAGUUUUCCGGCGGGAUAAGUUCACGGGAAAUAUAGACGGCCGAGAGCAAUUUGCCAAUAGUGAGCGUACCUUGUACAGUUGAUGUGUUCUAUCAUUUAUACCUGUGCGGAAGUCCGACCUCCGUACGUUUCGGGUUCUGCCCAGCAUAACCCCUAUCCCGCACUCAGAGGGAUUAUUCCCGACCUCUUCGGGAUGGAUACUCGCCCCCUCCAGGAGCCCUAGCAGCGCAGCCCAGGACGGCUGCCAGGGGCCUGGGGCCAAAGCCCAGUUCGGCCGCACCUGGGCUGCCACGUGUCCAGGCCCAGGACAGGGCCUUGCACAUACAUACAUUGAACUAAGGUUGUGGGCUGGUUAUUUGUUCAAAUUGACGGUUUCAUAUUAGUCAAAGACUAAACUGCUGGCUUGCAAUGUUAAUUUAUUGGACCGUAAUAAAAUCUCUCUUUAGAGUCACAAGACGGUUUAUUUUGAAGUAGCAUGAUAAGAUUAGAUCUUACAUAUCACCUGAUAAAAGAACAACUUUAUCACUUCGAACCAAUUCUUGCUCCGAGGUACACUUAUCACAAACCAAGCACUCAGUUACCAAGAUUUUGGAACCAGCCUUGAACAAGCCCAUUGCUUCCAGUGACCAUCUGUAACGGGAGGAACCAGACUUGAACAAUUGUGGAGCCCGAAGAACUGCAGGUUGGCGGGCUAAUGCAGAAACAGUUGUUUGGAGCCCUUUGUUAGUUGAGGCCCCCCAAUUACCAAAUUUUGCAGUACGUAAGGUUAAGGUUUUUUUUUUUGAAGGAAACUGUAAGGUAAAGGUUGAGGGAGAGACUCAUACAUCAUCCAAUCGCACCUUAACAGGGCUGACGUAACUCUACAUUAUUCUAUUAUCAAAAAAAAAAAAAAAAAAAAAACUCUACAGUAUUCUAGAAGCAGAAAGUCCUAGAAGCAGAAAGUCGCACGUGUAUCCUAACAACACAAAUACCCAAUAGCAAACGCAGCCAUAUUCAGUCUUUAAUAACCAGAACCAAAGCAAAUAUCCAAAAAGCAACAGCUGGCAUAUUCACUACUGAGUAAUUCACAGUUCAGCGCUCAGCCGUGAAAGAAUGGGAGUGGAGAAGCAAGUCGUAAGGCCCGGAGGGGGACCCAAACCCGUUCCCGGUCAGACCGUCUCCGUCCACUGUACCGGUUUCGGUAAGUGCCCUCCAUUUCCAAACCCCCUUCCUCUCUCCCAUUUGCACCUUUGCCUUUCACGCCGUUAUAUUAUUAGUGGUAGUCUGUUUCAUAUGAUUACCAAAGAAUACUUUUAAUUUUCCUAAUAAUAAGAAUAUGUUGUGUAUUUGCAGGAAAGAACCGUGAUUUGUCUAAAAAAUUCUGGAGGUAAUGACGCAUGUAAAAAAUUAUUUUAAAAAUUUGUGAUUUUUUUUAGUACAAUUAUUUUCAGCAUUACUUGCUUGUGAUCUGAAAUCCUUGUUAAUUAUAGCACCAAGGAUCCAGGGCAGGAGCCGUUUGCUUUCCAGAUUGGCCAGGGGAAAGUUAUCAGAGGUAAUAUUAAUCAUUAUUGUGCCCCGUCUGUUAAUUCUUGUCUCAGAAAGAAAUUUCCUUUGUAAUGAUAUCCCAUUGUGGAGUAGCUUAUAAAAAUUGUUUUACUAAAUUUUUGAUAAAAAAAAAAAGGAGGAAUAUUUCAGAUAUUCUGCUGAAUAUUGGUGAGGACUGGAUAGGCAGAUUAGAUGACUUAGCUGAUGUUAGAGUGUAGAGGUUAGGAAAAUGUGCGGAGCCACAGGGGCUGGUUUUCAUGGUAAAGAUGGAAGCUUUAAAUCUCUAAUAAAACCCAGCGAACAUUUGAAUUGACCGAAAUUCCAAAAGGGAUGUGAAUUCGAAUCCCUUCCAGUGUAACUAUCAUUCUCAAGGAUAUUUUUCUUGAAUUAUUGUCCUUUUUCUUUUCUCUUCUUUUUAUUGGGGAGCGGGAUUGUAGUGCCUUUUCUCAUAAAAUCUAUCAGUUUUCUAGGCUGGGGAUGGGGAGUUCUUUAUGUUGAGAUUAGCUUUGUUAUUGUGCGUUCUGUAUAAUCUGUUUGGGUGGCAGCAAACAGAUUUUAGUGUUUCUUCCUUGUCUGGCUGCUCUGGCACGCCAAUUUGGAAUGAUAAAUUCAUUCCAUGUUGCGGCAAUCUUCUGAUUAUUCCAAGUAAUGUUGGUUGUCCUAUAUGACAGAAGAGUUGAUGUCAUCUAUCUUAGGCACAAUGUAUUGAAUUGCUUCAUCCAAGAAUUUUAGCUUUUUCCUUAGUUGCCUUGCUUGUUCUCUCCUAUGCAGGAUGGGAUGAAGGUGUACUUGGAAUGCAAGUGGGAGAAGUUGCGCGCUUAACGGUAAAAUCAUGCACUUGAGUUGUUUCUUGCUUAGCUUUUUACUAGUAAAUAAAUGUCAUUUGCUAAGAACACCUUGUAAAAAAAAAAAGCAGCUAUGAAUGAGGAUGUUAUGAUGUGUGUCUUGUAGAGCAAAGCUGAAUAUCUGGGAUAUUAUAGUAAGACAAGAAUAGAGAAAAAGGAAAAACCUUUUAAAAGACGGUUUUGUAGCGUCCAAGCUGACUACCAGAUGCACCAUGGCUAAUAUCUUCUGCUCAUAAUUUUGAGCUAAUAGAGCCAUUAGAAAGGCUGAUCAUGGAAGUGUUGAGAAUGGUAGGUAUCUUGGGAACGAAUAACAGAAGAGGCGGCUGUGAUACUGCUAUCUUUGUGGGUUUGAGCCUAUAUAUUUGCUUUGGACAAAAUAAGUAAAUUUGUCCAUUUAUUGUUGGUUUUGGAUGAGUGCCUUAGGAUCUAUAGACUUCUAACAUUCCAUAGUCUAUCUCUCUGUCUCCAAAUUAACUACACGGUUUUGCAACGAAAGUAGCACCUAAGAUCUCCUAUUUAACGAGUGUUCACUGGGCAUUUGUUAACCAAACAUUUUCUCUUAAAACCAUUUUAAAUUGUUUUUACCCAGUCUGCAUUUCAAUGCAGUAUGGUGACUGUUUUUUCCUCUAUUAAAUUGUUCCAAAUUUAUGCAGUGUUCCCCCGACUAUGCUUAUGGUCCUAGUGGUUUCCCAGCAUGGGGCAUUGAGCCUAACUCUGUUCUGGUUUUCGAGAUUGAAGUAUUGGGUGUUCAGUAAUUAAUUACUGGCUCUGAUGCUGCGGGUUGCCGAUGGUAGACAUCUGAUGUAGAGUCCUUCAGCAGUGGGUGUUAGUUAAUUAUAGUUUGUAUUUUUAUCUGAAUAAAAAGGCUUCGAGCUCUUCAGCCUGCCGCCCGAUGUAGAAUGCCUUAGCAGUGGGUGUUACUCUGUAACUGGUACCGAAAUUGCAGCCUCCUCUCCUCUCUCUCAGAUUAAAAAUGGAGAUUAUGGUUUCCUAGUCGCUUUAUGGUACUACAACGUUUUCAUACGGCUUUUGUUUUCCAGCUGUGAGCUCGGAUCUAAAUCAUCUGUGGUAGUGGGUAAAAGGAACAAUCCUCCAUGAUUGGUCAAAAUACCUCGACAUUUUGACAUGAUCGACGAAAAUUAUGAAACUCAGAUUUUGAUGCAUGUGGUGUGCAACAAUUUGAACCAAACCACUGAUUAUUUCAUAUUUUUAGCUAGAAGCAUCUCAUUUUCAGAGAAAUUUCAGUACUUUUGCCCCGCAAUCCGCAUUCAUUUGAAGCUGCAGCUCAUUCAAAGCAACAAUCAUGGCUUUACAUUUGGUUGGAUUCCAAACGUUAACAAUCAUACCUGCAAGUAUUACCCGUGUACAAAGAUGUCUACUCGCUCCUCGGCUUUCAACUUAUUUAGGUUACAGAGUAGUGUUUGAUAACUAACUAUAUCUCAUUUGUUAAAUUUAGGAGUAAAGUCUUUCAUGAAAAAUCUUAUUUCUCUAUUUCCUUUCCUUUCCUUUCACUUUUAUUCCCUCAAAACAAACAGAGCCCCUUUAGUACAAACUCAAAAUUAGUAACUUUGAUGUUUUAAAAAUAAGAAAAUUAACUUAACCAUUUUAUCAUAGAUUUUACACGAAAUGAAGAGAUAAAUAUGUUGCAAAAAUUCAAAAUUACAUAACGUAGGAAAACACACUUAUAAUAAGUGUGCGCCUAAACAAUUGAAUUAAGCAGCUAAAAACUUCCAAUGAACGACAAGUGCCAAUAGAUGAGACAAAGUAGAAGCAGGAAAGGGGUAAAACCGUCCUAAAAUUUCUUAUGCACUAUAUAUUCCAGUUCCCCCGUUCUUUCCCCCACUCAGACAAAUUUUCUCCGGCCUUCCGCUCAACUGUUCACUUCAUGUUCUUUCUCUCCACUCAAGCGCUCUCUAUCUGGCGGGCGCGACCCAUUUGUUCUUUUGGAUCUUUCCUUGUGUAAGUCCUUUUUCCAACUGUAUUAACCUUUUUUACUGGUCGGAUUUUCCACCUGUUCAUUUUUGUCUUGUUUAAUCCUUAAAUCCUCAAUUCUUGAUCAGUAAAUUCAUGAAGUCCUCGUCUUUUUAUUUUUAUUUUUUUUGGGUCUUUUGUCGGAAAAAAAGUGAUUCUUGUCAAUAAGUUCGAAGUACGUUCGCUUAGCCAGCUUUUCUUAGUACAUGAGUGAAACGCUUGUAGGCUUAACAAUAAAGAUGGGAUUUUUAUUUUUUUCCUUUUGUCGAAGUUUCUCUGGUCGAUCUUUUCUCCUUAUGUCCUACGAUUAAUUAUGAAUUGAAAGUUCAAUGAUUUCAUGGGUUAUGUUUCUUUCCUCGAUUACUAUUACUUACCUGAGUUCUUUGAGCUGUUUCAUGGAAAUAAAGAAAUUAAAUAGUGCCAUGUUGGCUAAAUUUCUUUUUUCUUUUUCUUUUUCUUGUUCCCUUUCCUUUUCCUAGUUUUUCUAAUUCUUCAGCGUUAUACUUCAUUUUCAUGCACAUAAAUAGGGAAAUUCAACUUCCAAUGCCAUAUUAGUUAAUGUUCUUUCUUGCUUAUAUGUGAAAGGCAUGCGCACUAGUCUGAGGAUCAUAAGAUUCCAUUAUGUUUAUCCCACUCUACUUGAAUACUGCUGUUCUUAUGUUUGUUGAUCAUUUAUAUAUUGCAGGUAACGGGCAUGUCGCACUACUGCUGAGGCUAUAUUGAUCUCACCUAUAAGUGAACAAUAUGCGGUGGAUUAGUUUGUCCAUUGAUGUGUUUCGUCAAGUUAUCUCCUUGAAUUUGUAUUGUAGGGUUAUUCUGUAAAUGAUCUCAGUUGUCCUUAUUAAACCAGAAUUACCUCUUGAUUCUUUUGAUCUCGUUUAACAAGAUUUCAAUGGGGUCCAAUCACUUCUCUUUCAUUGCUUCUAAUAUCUAUAUGAUCAGCUGAGAAUUAUUUAUGGUCUUAAGCAGUUUUAAGUUCAUUCCUCUGACACCUCGUCUCUUGCCAGUACAUCUUGUAGUUCCUUCAGAUUUGGUACACUCCUCGUUUUCUUAUCUUUUCUUUUUUCUUUGGUCCUAUCUUUUGUUCUAGAUUUCUAUUUCUAUUGUCGUAGUCUUGCGUAGAUUUUGAAACUGAUUCAAGGUGCAAAAGAAAUUAUGGUGUGCCAAGCAGCAAGCCAGACAAGAUUCCGGGCUUUAAAACAUGAAAAUGGCAUAGCAGGGACACCAACCAUUGUAGUUAGGGUGAUAGCAUGCUUUCAACCUUUGCAAAAUUGUCAGGUUGGUUCAAGAUUGUGUUAGGGUGCUUGCUAAUGCGUUUCAAGUUGUAGUCUCUUUACCCUUUAUGUUUACUCUUUGGAUUUGUGUUUUCUUAAUGUGACAGGUUUUUCUCUGUACUUGAUAAUGAUGGAGAAGUUACUAAAUCCUACUUGUUUCCUUUUGGAUUUCUGUAGGCUGAGUACUUCCGUCACUUGCUUAAACCAGUUACGUAGAUUGAUAGUACGUUUUCAAUAGUACGUGAGGCUGGAGUUUGAAUAUUUUGAUUCAUUAUUUUGGUUUCUAAAAGUGUGGACGUUGAAGAUUCAUUACAAUCAGUUUUCUGGUAUGGUUUUUGACAUCUUGCUGCUGUUCAUCUCCAUUGCCUUUUAUUGCUUGGAAUUUUCUAAAAUCUGGCAAUUUUAUGUCUCAGAUUAUUGAAUUAGCUGGAUGUUUACAGCCUACGAUUUUCAGCAUUCUCAGCACCAUUAUCUGUGGGAUUCUCCUCGCUCAAAUGACAGUACUGCUGUUCCAGAUACAGGGACUUCAGCUUUUGGGCUUCUUCAUUUUAAAACGGACCAACUUGAUGGAGUUCGGGGACCUUUCCAAUGGUUGCCUCCUCAAAAGGAGAGCUCGUCUCCCACAGCAGCUCCACAUUUUGAAGAAUCUCAACGUGCUUUUGGUCAUGGACAUGGUGUCGAACCUACAUUCAAGGAUGUAUCUGCAUCCGCUCAUAAGAAGUUUCUCAUUUUUGAUCAAUCUGGGGAUCAAGUUAGAUUGAUCUCGAGAUCUUUUCGUUCACCUUACCAAGAUCAGAUUAUCAUGCCCAUGACACCAGUUGAUUUUCACGAUUUGCAAGGUGAAGCAGGACAAUCACAGAUAAUGAAGCCUCCUCCGCAUACUGAGCACCAUCCGCAUACUGAGCACCAUGUAAAGAGUGAAGGAGGUGACAUGCGUGAGGACACAGAAGAAAUCAAUGCGUUGCUCUACUCUGAUAGCUUCCCUGGGAAUGAUGAUGAUGUUGAUGGUGAAGAUGAUGACCUGACUAGCACCGGGCAUUCACCUUUUACAAUCAUAGGUGGCAUCGAGAUGCAUGAGAAGGUUUGGGAACUUACUGAGGAAGUUGGUAGCACUGAUGGUUCAACUAAAAGGCAUAAAUUGCUUGAUGGUGGUUACAAGAAAUCAUCGUUAGUGGACACUGCAGAUCCAUUGAAAUUGGCUAAAUUUUGCAAUGAUGAUAACCAUGUGGAGACAAAUUGUGCCAAAGGUGGGGACCUCAAUGAGGAGAUGGACUCCAAUAUCAACACAACGCAAAAGCGGGCCAAAAUUUGCAAGACGUUGAGAAUUCUUGAAAGUAUAGUUCCUGGAGCAGAGAAUAAAGAUCCAAUCUUGAUCAUUGAUGAUGCAAUAAAUUACUUGAUAUCAUUGAGGGAGAAAGCUGAAGCUUUGGGGCUUGGCCACCCUGAAGUGCAGUGCUCCCGUCAACAGUAGUACAUUUCGGGUGCUUUUUUACUGAGGCAGUACGAUCAAGGGAUAAGUUGAUCUCGUCUCUUUUGACUGAAAGGGAUGGAUAGGUGGUUUUUGCUGUGUGAAGCUUUUGUGAUCUUGUUAAAGCUAUAGUGCAGUUUGCUUUAAAAAGCCAAUAGAGGAAAAGCUUAAUGAGGUGAAAAUUUUCAUCUUUGCUUACAGGAGGUGAAGAAAACUGGGGCUAUAAUUGCCGGGUAGAAAUGAUUGUUCAUUUGCUUUCGGGAUUGAAAAUAGCCAGAAUUUUGAACGCAUGGUCUAGGCAGAGAGGUGGGCUGUGCUGUAAAUGAGGACCUCUUUUGCCAACAUGUUGAAAACACAAUGGAUUAAGUGCACGCGCAUUUGCUAAUUUGGGUCCCGCCUUCCACUCUUCACCUCCAUCUUGUUUUCUUGAUUCUAAGCUUUGUUAUUUUUUUUUUACCUUAUGUGGCUUUCAAAGAAGCAGCUAAGAUGUUGGGCUGAAGCAGCAGUGAAGAGAGCUGAGAGUAGAAAGGGGGGCCCGGAAGAUUCAUCAUGAAUAUUUGAUGCUCAUCCAUGACCAAAUCUUGUCUUAAAAGGCUAGUGCUAGUAUGUUUCUUUAGUGAGCUGUGCAGAGGAUUUGUGCUUUGCCUUUGCUGCAAAGAAGAGUCUCCUGUAGGCCGUCUUCAUGAGCACGUGGGCAUCAAUCUUUAAUGCAGGAUUUUAUUUGUAUGUUUCGUUGAGUACAACAGUUGUUUUGGGUGGAUAUUGCAAUGUAAUCCUGGUUAUGUAGUGCCUAUCUGUUUGGAUUAUGACUUUUGGCCGCUGCCUGUUGUUUGUUAUUAUUAUUUUUCCCCUUUGGCAGCAGUGCUUUUCGGUCUUGCUAUGCUAUAAUUCAAUUUAAUUUGACAUUUCCAACAUUAACCCACUGCUAAACUGUGCUGUAUUUGAUUUGAUUGCUACAUUAGAGAGGAUAAUCAAAUCAAAGGACCCUUGCUGCUGUGGGAGGAGUUGGACGACAUUCUUCUGGACUGCAUGAUUUCCAUUGAAGAGAGAAGACUUAACGAGUGUGUGUAUGUAGGGGAGGGUACAAAUAGUUCUCAAAAUGAGAGAGUUGAACCUUGAGAAGGAAAAGGGGGAAUCCAACGGUUUAUAAGGAAUUCGUAGUCGAAAGUUUUCCCUACAAAGGAGGGUUGUGGGGAAAACUAAUGAGGUAGCCCAUCAAGAGAAGAGAAGAGAAGAGCACGGCCGUUCUUUCUCUUUUUCUCGCUGCAAACAAUUGUACUUACCGUUCUAUAGAGUUAGAGCACGGCCGUGCUACUACCAACCUAAUGAGGUAGCCAAGCAUGGUAAAGAAGCAUUCUUUUGUCAAUUGUUACUUCUACAUUUUAAUUAGAGUAUUUGCAUUUUACCAACUUUACAGUAUCUCCACAAGGCGCCCAAAAAAAAAAAAAAAGAAGCGAUUUUAUUCACUUUUUUGGGUUUUCCAUAAUAGUCCACGCACAUGAUUAGUUGAUCGCUGUGCUUGCAAUGCAGAUUCGGCCCGGCUAAAAGCCAGAGAACAGCAUCCGAAUGGAUAGCCGUUGGGGCCCAAAGGAGCUACCCAAAACCCCCAAAGAAAACGAGGGUCGAUUUUGUGUCUUCAGCAAAUUCUUAGUGCCAAGGCAUGUGCUGACUCGUAUUAAAAGUCAAAGUAACAAGUAUGUGUAAGCGUAAGAUCCAUUCAUAUGGAUAUGUCCAUGCUUAAUGUAGUGAAUGGUAAUUGAUAUUCUGCAUGCUGACUUCGGCAUUAUGGUAGGACUGUCUCCAAUAUAUUAGUUUCUUGGAUACUGUAUGAUACCCUAACAACUUUGUCUGGCUUUGAACUAUUCUCAUGAUAUACAAUUAGUGUUCCAUUGAUAUUCAGGAAGCUGAUGAAUUGUUCCUUCUCUGCAAUUUUGCGUGCAAGAUCUUAUGGAAAAACUGGACAACUAUGACAACCUACAUGGAGAGAGAGAGAGAGAGAUAAUGCCACUGAUAAUCCUUUUCCAAUCCAUCCAGGUCCCAGUGUAUGCUUGCCCAAUUGCUUAUAUGCUCCACAUCAAUGGAAUGAAAGAUACAAAUUGAACCUGAGAAUUUUCAAGACCUUUUCAGCCUGAACUUUUUCUUGAUACAUCCAAAGUUGAUUCAUUGAAAACAUGUAAUGUGCUUUUGCGGGAAAAAUGAUAAAGAUGUUCCACUCGUGCAACUAAAUCAUAAUGCAGAACACACUUAAACAAACAUGGCAAUUGCACCACAACCACUCACCCAAAGACAGAAGGAUCAAAUGUGAAAGUUCCUAAGAUAAUUCCUGUGAAGGAGGAGGGAACCUUUGGAGUACUCCUAAUAAGAGGAAAAAAAAGAAAGACGACUACAGCUACAGGAAUAGAAAAAUGAAAUAUAGGGGGAUCAAGUUUAUCAGGAAAUAUCUUACUUCUUCACUUCCUUAGGUCUCAAGAAACGGAAUUUCUCCACCUUCUAGGUGCCUUUUUAGGUUGUUCUGGAUUCGAAAUCUGGGGUCCAUCAUCAUGGUUUUCCAAAUUUGACAUCUUGGUGAGCUUGCCUAGCUUUUUCCAUCCUGAGGUCCAUGCGAAAGUUUGCUUUGGCUUAGCCAUCUUAUCGAACUGUCUCUGUAAGGUUUCAAAGUCGUUUUGGAGUUCCAAGUACUUAGCCUUGACUGUUUCAAGCUCAAACUUGAGAGUGUUGAUGUCCUUCUUGGCAGUUGCCCAUCCUUCUUGAAAUGACUGUGGCGUCCCUUCAAGCAAUGUCUUACGGGUUGACACCAUUGGGUGGUAGUGGGAUUCUCCAGCUUCCUUGAGGGAGCUACUAGCUAUUGCAUUGCUUAUCUUCACCUGUUCAGAGAAGAGAACUUGCACUACUACUCUUAGAGGAAGCCGUUCAUUCUGAGCAGCAUGCAUGCAUGCAUCAAUUGAGAGCUUCUGGCAAUCCAUUACACGGCAAAGCCUCUUCCUUUCAUGCUCUGAUAGUGUUGGAUGGGCCUAUCAACUCUUCAAUGCGUUAGAUUCUAAGUAAACUUGGAUGAGCUUCAUUAUAUGCAAUAUUUGAAGCAAUAAAUGUAAACGGCAUAUUGAGCAUUAUUAUGAAGGCACAUAGUGACUCGUUCAUAACUUCUAAUUUUGUGUUGUAAAUUUUUCAUCUGAAAUUCUUCUCUUUGAUCUUCACAAUGCAUAAUAAAUAUCGACGUUUGUUUUAACUUAGAAUUUAAAGAUUUUGCAACUAUUCUCUGGCCCUGUCUUCCUUCUAUACUUAUCCAUUUAACAUAAUUCUUAACGGAUGCAUGCUUUAUAAAAAGACCAUAUCACACAAAUAUUUUAUUUUGAGGAGCUCGUCAGCUCGAGGACCAACCUGUUUUAACACCAUAUAUUGGUGAUGAACAGAUAUCCUCACAGAAAAUCAAUGAAAAAUAUAGUUACUUUAGAAAAUCGCGAAAAUUAAAUUUCAAUUACCUUCAGGUAGGAAUCAACAGCUCUAUAUAGUCCAUCAUCACAGGUUCUUGCUGAAUCAGGUAGAGCUUCUGCCAAGACCUGAAAUUUCGUUAGGGAGAGAUUUCUAUCUCUGGACACCUCUGUUAGAUAACUGUCAACCAGCCUUGCCACUCUCAUCUUAGCAUUUGGAUUUGUACCCCUUUGGGGUGCUUCAGCAAAUGAUUGUCUGCUAGGACUUGAACUUUCUGUCUGCUCUUGGACAAGGAAAUGCUCCAGUAGUCUUUGAACUAGAUCAACAUCGUAUAAUGUUUCACUCUUGUUGUAUGAAGGAAUGAGAAGAUCUGCCAAUGUAGCCUGUUCAAACUGCAUGCCUACCCUCUUUUCCAAUUCAGUAACCAGAGCAGCAGCUACUUUCAACAAGUUUGCCAUUCUCAACAGUCGAAGAAGGAAGCUACAGGAAACACUGUCCUUCUGGGGAGGUAUUAAGCUAAUAAGGCUCUCAAUAAUCAUUCUUUGAUCCUUAGCCUGAACAGUUGGUAUAUCUUCUUUUGUCCCUGCUACAAUCAUAUGGAGCCCCCCUUUCCAACUUCUGUUUAUGUCAUUAGCGUGGCUGUAAUUGCUUCCCUCAUCAGCUGCUGCUGAUCCCUCCGUUAUUAGUCCUGGAAGCCAUUUAGCUGCGUAAUGCAUUAUUGCAGCUCCAAUUAGUUCAUGUCUCAUCCCCUUUACCUUAAUAGCAGUAAUAACACGUACAAAGUGAUCAAUCCUGAGAAUCGAAACAUCUUCAAACCACCAAUCAGGUGGCACUUGUUGGUUUCUGCUUGGACUGGAAUCCUUCAUUUCAUUCCAACUAGGGCUAGAUACUUUUGGGGGCCUCCCUGUAUAUUGCCAUCUUAUUCCUUUUGGAUUAGCACAAGCUUUCCAGGCAAUGGACUCGCUGCAUCUUCUGACAAUUUGAAGGUUCUCUGCCCAUGGCGACAGCUUCUCACUAUUUUUAAGUACUAGUAUAGAAUCUCUCCAUGAUGACAAAACCACGUAGCUGAGAAAAGCUUCUGUCUUGAAUAUUAGAUUGCCUUCUUCUAAGUCCUCUGUCAUUUCCAGGUACUCUGCUGCACAUCUAAGGCCAGAGAUAUUGUUUGCUGUCAGAUCAACAGCAAUCCCAUAGCAAAAUUUUGCUGCAAGCUCAAAAGCCUCAGGUCCACCUGGGAGGUCAUCUAAAACUAUCUUGUUCAGGUCUUCCCGUGAUUCAUAUAUGAUUCUGUUCAACUUGCCACUUCUAGAAAGCAGAGGAUACUUGAGAGACGAGAGAAAGAAUUAGUAUAUCAUCUAACCCCAACCCUUUUACAACCGUUAUUAGUAAUUCUAUGUACACAAGUUGAGAAAUGAGAAAAAUGUUAGAAUAGGAUGGCAGCUACCUUAUGUAAAUGGAAAUUAACAUCUCCAAUUUGAACUAAAAAGUCACUUGGGAUAUCAGUUGCAACAUACCUAUUUACAGGACAAGCACACCAAACAUUAUAAGUAACUUGCUUUAACAUUAAUGAUGAUAUUGCAAGAAAGAGAUACGAGGUUCACCACAGAAAGUUUACGCUUUCAAUUUAUGCAUCUUCUCCUAAACAUACUCACUCACUCGAGGCUUUCACAGGAUGAUUAACUUGAAGAUGAAAAUGCAAAAAUAAAGAUCCAAGCAAUGCUGAACAAAUGAGAGAAACAUACCAAGACUGGCCUCUUUGCUCAAAACCAUCGGUUUUAAGUCCAUGCUUGCUUAUGCUGAGAACUCCAUUGCUGUAAUCUCGCCCUCCUCCGGUCUCGCUUUCCGCGUCCCACAUGGUGAGUUGAGGAAGCUCAGAAAACUUCAGAUUGAAUUUUAGAGUUAAGUGCUUUGCUUCAGAUGAGGAGCAGAGAAAGUGAGAUGAACAACAAAACAGAACAAGUAGCUAGAGAAGCUGCACCAAUGAGCCAAAAAAGGUAUCCCACAUGGGGAUGCUUGGAACUAUCUCCAAUUGUCGGCUUCUUCACUGAUUUCCAAAUGACUCCUACAGGCUGGGUUGCGAUGGGCUGACAACUAAUAUGUGUUUUUGGAGCACUUGAUUUCUUGAUUUGAUCUCUAAUAUAUGGAUAUACUUUCUCCAAGUAGCCAGAGUGGGAGACUUUGAGUUUGUGUGCAGCCUCUCACUACUGAUUUUUUAACAUUUUUUGAGCCACUGUUUCAAGAGUUCUUUAAUCGCCCCUUUUACAAACAUUCAGGACUGUGCAGGGAUUUUCUUUCAGCACCGAACUAUUCUUCUGAUUAGCAAGUACGAUAGGUUGGCAGGGAAUUUUGCAUCUUGAUGAAAUUUGGAAUUUGGAAUUUGGAUGUAAUGCAACUAAAUGGACCGGACCACCUUCGACUUCAGGGUAUACCUAUCUACGUACCCAAAAAAUAUCUCAAAGAAAUAACAAGUCUUUAAGCAAACUCUUUAAUUCUCGAGCCAGCCUUCCUUAUUUUUACGUUCGAAAGCUCCAUUUAUUCUUUUUGUUUCUUCGGGAAGUGUGGGGGAUUAUAUAAUUUUGAUGAGCAAUAGGCCGUACUAUUCGCGCUGAUAAUACGUUAGCAAGCUUUCAUUUUCAUGCCAAUUAUUACAAUCUGAAGAUUAGCAAGGCGCAUCUAUCUAUCUAUGGUCAGAUUGAUGAAGUUUUGAUCAUUUUGAUGUCUGGAUUUUUUUGACUAAUGGAGAGUUAUUAGUUUUAAGUUGCACCCACGCAGGAGAAAUACAGAGUGCCCAAACAGGAUGACGAAAUAUAUAGCAGCGGUUAUUGUCUUUCACCUUUGGAAGAUUCAGCAGUGACAGCGGGGUGGAUAAGGCUAAAAAGGAGUACUUGCAGAGCAAAAGAAUUUGGCAGAAUGCAACAAGGUGGAAAGGGGCUAGCUGCUCUCUUGCAGUUUUAGUAGUUUUUGAGUACCACGGAUAAAGCAGAGGGCUUCCACAACCAAUCACCAGUUUUAAUGAUAAGGCACAGAGUGGAUAGCAAUGCACGACAAAUGCGAAGAAGAAUUCAAUAAAUGUAAAUAUUAAAGCAACAACAUGCAAAACACAACAAUUUUUUGACACUCCUAUAAAAUUAUAUGCCCCCUCCCCCCCCCCCCCCCCCCAGAUCAAUCUGACACCGCGGCGAAAGCAAUUUAAAAACCUGUAAAAUACAAGAUUCGAAUCAGAAUUUAAAAAAAAAAUUAGAAUUUCAAAUCCAAGAUUCGAAUUAGAAUUUCAACAAGAUUCAAUUAGAAUCUAACCACUUGAGAACAUUCAAGAACAAUUAUAUAUAGACCCAAUACAAUUGUGUUAAAAUUUCAAUAAUAUUGUCAAAACCUGUAAAAUAAAACCCUAGAGAACCUUGUGAGUGGAUUUUUGCAGUUUCAAAAGUUGAUUUCCUUCUAUGUCCUCACGUGUUCCUACACUUUUCACACGACCCCCCUUAGACUCCCUUGUCUCGAAGGGAUAUCUCAUAGCAAAUCCCUCCAUCUCAAAAGAACUCAACCCCAAGUUCAUAAUGAAGAACGCAAUAUUCAAAAGUGAAAAUACGCCAGCAACUUUUUCAUAUAAUUUUUAGAGUCGAUACUUGUGAUGGAACCUUUGUAUCCAAUUAUGAAUAGAAUUAGAUAGGUGCCCUGUUUGGAAUUUAAGUUUUUUGACAAUUUUAUCUACUACAAAUUUUUUAAAAAUUUUAGCUACAGUAACCUCAAAAAUUUUUUUAAAAUUCUUAAACUAUACAUUUCAAAAUAUUUAAAAAUUUACACUCUUCAAAAAAAUUUUACAGUAUACUACAGUAAAAUUUUAGAUAAACUUUUAAAAAACUCACCCUCCAAACGGGCCUGCGUCCUUUAAAAUUCCAAAAUUCAACAACUUCAGCAAUUUGCAUUUUGAAAACAAGUCUCAUUUUCUCUUCACAAAAAGAUUAUGAACUAUAUACACAGAUCCCUAGGGUUAGGGUUAAUCGUGGCAAAAUUCGUCUAGUCUCAUCAUCCGAAAAUGACGACUUGAUGUGAACCACAUUGAAUAAGAACGCGAUCAUGAGCCACUCUCCUGACACAUCUAUUCCAUUCUUUGUGAUCCAAAUUAUGGUGAAACAUUACACAAGAAAUGUACUACGAUAUCAACUGAUGCGACGGCAGAAGCAAUUUAAGAGAACCAGUUUCAUGAACUAAUUCCAUAAUAAUAAAGAAUCAAGGGUGAUUUAUGAUGAACCCUAAAGAAAAUCAAAAUUCAAACGCUCAAGAACAACUAUAUAUAGACCCAAUACAAUUGUGUUAAAAAUUUAAUCAUAUUAUUGUCAAAAACUGUUAAAUAAAACCCCUAUUCACAGGAUACAAGUAUUCCAAACGAAAAAGGAGAGAAAAUACAAUAAUGAAGUUAGGAAAAACGAUGAUGAAACUUCACACUGCCACCAAUCCAGGAUCUGCUCGCCGAUCCGUUUCGACAAUUUCAGAAGUUGAUUCACGGCCAGGUCUAGAUCCACGAACGGAUUGGGGGGGCUAGGGAAUGGAUCUUGUACGCGACUCUUUUUUUUAAAAAAAAAAAAAAAUGCAACUUCAAAGGUUUUCUUUCUCUUUCCUUGCGUGUCAAUUCCCACAUCUGAGAAGGAGGUUCCACCAAAGAAUCUCAUCUAUCCAAUUUCAAAUUAAACACAUCCCCGCUGUUAACUACACCAUACGAUCCAAAACUGCAAUUAUAUAAGCCUCUGCAAUCUGUUUUAACACAAAUGGUACAGUUCAUUAGCUUUUAGUAUCUAUCAAAAAUUAGGGGAGAAGAACAGGAAUGAAUGUAAGCAGCAAUUCUACGAUUAUCCAAAAAAAAAAAAUGUAAAUGCCUCGAUCUUGUGGUGUACAUUAUCUUUUAACAUCAUAUCAUAUGUAGAGUCCACCAAAAAUUGUUCCAUGCUUGUAUUGUAUUCAAAUUAGUUUGCAUAGUUGAACAAAAGAUUUUUUAUAAUAUUAAACAAAAGAUUUAUAUUAUGUUCAAUUCACAGAACCAUUCCCAGACAUUUGAUUUGAACUGUCCCGUUCCCAAAAGUUAAAAAGUUUUUAACAGGAAGUCAAGUGAAGCAUCUUUGACAGCACUACUUGGCAAUUUUGUGCCACAAGAAUUCCUCCGCUAAGGUAAUUGGAGAAGGAUAUUAGUUGGUCCAUAAUAUCCAGAUCAGACAUUAAUGGGUGCUUCAAUCAUUUCAAACAUUUGUCCUGGGGUGCAGUGCAUUUCCAAUACGCCUUGAGCUGAUUUGAUGGUAUUACAGCAUCUGGAAUUAUGGUUGUACCAUCGAGGGAGCUGGUGAAUGGGUCCCUGAGUUGCACAAGUUGUCUUGCAGUGACGGACGCUGUGGAAAAGAUUGAACUUAUGCAAGUCCCCGCCAAUGGGGUCUUCAACACAUUUAUCGGCCGCUGUCAGAAUUGAUGAGCCCUAUCCAGCACCAUCCCUUUGCAUUAAUGACCAUCACCCCACUCAAUACUCUAAUCAAAAGCCGCCUAAUAUCUCUGUCAUGUCAUUAACCUGCAUUCUUCUCGUCAAGGAAUUGUCCCCAUUCCAUACAUUAGGGGAUUUUUGUUGUCUGUUCAUGGAAUGGGAUCAGAAAAAGGAGACUUUAUAUAGGAUAAUCCUCUCUUGACUUCUCGUUUUAACUGAUUUUGACCUGAUGGGCGCUUCUCUAUGCCAUAAAAGUGGUGACCGUGGCACAAAUUAUAUAAAUUUCUGUUCAUGACUUGAUUCUUUAAGCUACCGUUUGUGUGUGAGCAGAAGUAUGGAAAAGUGUAGGAAUAUUGUUUGGAUAAGGUAUUAUUUGAAAUAUUAUUUGGAAUAAUUAUUAUAAUACUUUUUGUGAUGUGAUGUAUGUGAGAUAAAAAAGUAGUUGGGAAUAUAAAAAGGUGGAUUGGAAAAUGUGUUUACGAUGCAAGCGAAAUAUUAUUUAGAAUAAGUUCACUAUCCAAACAAACAUAAGCGAAAUAUUAUUAGCUAAUUUUUUUCUCAUUGCGUGUGUGUGUGUGUGUGUGUUUACCGCAAAAUUUUCCUGCCAUUUCUUCCACUGUUCUACCUUCUCUGUUUGUGCUUUCUUAUGUUUUGUAUCAAGCAAAAUCAUCAACACAUUUUUUUAAUUAUUUUUUUUAUUUUACAUAUAUCACUUUAAAAAGUGUUAUAAUAUUUUUUUGAAAAAAUUAUUUCGAAUAAUCAUUCAUUAUCCAAACAUGUUCAUUAUAUUUUUAGAAACUAUUACUAACUAAUCACGUCCUCUCAAAGUAUUUUUCGUCAAAUAAACAUACAAAAAAAUUGAUUUUCACUUUUCUUUACUUCACUUUCCUACAUAGCUUUUCCUCCAAUCAAAACUUUUCUAAUAGAUUUGUAACUUUCACAUAUAUAUAUAUUUGUUUUGUAAAUAAAGAUGCAUUAAAAUAAAGUCAAGUCAACAGAGUGCAAAUCAAAGUACAGUUAUCCGUGGGGUGGUAACCCCCUUUAAGUCUUGCAAAAGUAAGGGAAGUACAAAAUUAGGACAUAAUUCAAAAAAAGUGAAGUCUUAAGUGUUGCUUCUUCCCCAGUUGACAAGAAUGUCUGCACAUUUGUUUGCUUCUCUAUAAUUAUGGUGAAAACAUACUUUCCGGAAUGUAGUCAAUAGCUCCCUGCAAUCAAGAAUAAUAGGCGAAAGUUCAUGAGAAAUAAGAUUAUUUGACUUGCACAAGGAGAUGAUAAUGGCAGAGUCCAUCUCCACUUCGAGAGAGUGGAUGUUGAGGUUUUUUGCAAGCUGUAAGCCUUCUCUAAGAGCCCAGCAUUCAGCAGAAGGAACUGAAUAGAAGCCUAAAUUUCUUGCAAAACCUGCAAUCCAUAACCCAUUUGAGUCAGGAAUUAUGCCGCUAGCUCGUGCCUGGUUUGUUGGUCCAGAGACUGAACCAUCAGUGUCAUGGAGGUCUAGGAAGAAUCUCUUCGAGAUUGAAUGUACAUAAUUGACCGAGUUGAAUAUUUUCAUGCACAAGAAUACUAGAUUAUCUAAUAAAAAAAGAUUGAAAAAUCAACACAAACCUCCCUUAUUUCUUUUCUAUUGCAAUUUCUGGAUUAUUAUAUGAUGAUUUUUUAACUGUCCAUAUAUAAAAAAGAAAUUUAAACUAGAAACGACAUCUGUUAUGUCAAUGACACCAAAGGGAUAUUAAAUGAAUGGAAUUGGGUAUGGAUGGAAUAAAAUGAAAUGAAAUAUAACCACUUUGAGUUUUUCUCUGAAAUGAGGCAUGGAAAGAGCCAUUACGAAGAAGUUUUGGGGGUUACAAAGAAAGUUUCUAACUCAUAUUGGUCAUGGGUUGAGAACAGGAAUUGAACUCUAUGAAAUCUAAUCUCCCAUUAUUCCUUAGUAGUUCAGUGGUAGAGCGAUCAGCUGUUAACUGAUUAGUCGUAGGUUCGAAUCUUAUUUGGAAAGAUUUGAAAGAAUUCAAAAUAAUGGGGCUCAUUGACAUUCUCAACUUGCCCCAUUUUAAGGUGUACAAAAAUAGUGGGCUAGUGAAUAUUAGAUCAUUUAUGUCCGCAAAUGAUGAUGAAUAUUCAAAAAUUUGUGUUGCAGUUAAAUGCAUGUAUGACUUCAGUGGAUGAUCUAUAAAAUUUCCGUGCAAGUGAUUUAUGAUUUUGAGGGCACAUUUUGAAUUUCUAAUAUGUGAUGAUGAUUAGAGUCGAAACCACCUAAAUUUUUUUAACCAAAGGAGGGAGAAUUUUAAAUGUAUUGACAUUCACCAAUCACCAUCUUAGUAAACUUUGUAUGGUGAUGAAUUUCCUCCUUUGAUGUUUCUGGGAUGAAAAAAGGAAUUAUUGCUUAAUAAGUGGACAAAGAGCGAGCUAUCAUGGGCAGGGAUCGAAGCAACAUAAAUUAAUUAAGAUUAAGAAAUGGAUGAAGAUUUGUCUCUGAUGUGAAACUACUAUAUCUUCAGCAAAUAUCCAAGAAGGAAAAUGAAGGAGGAGGGAAAAAAAAAAGGAAGUAGUUUCCCAAACACAAGGCAGUUUCAGGAAAAGGAGAAAAGAAAAA
RNAcentral lists this long non-coding RNA (85085 nucleotides) under Coffea arabica (coffee). RNAcentral's name for it is "long non-coding RNA (CARA_LNC001052)". The stretch from base 84417 to 84486 matches the Rfam family "tRNA". The record is from RNAcentral. Lineage: Eukaryota; Viridiplantae; Streptophyta; Magnoliopsida; Gentianales; Rubiaceae.